This 55163-nucleotide long non-coding RNA is filed under the name Lactuca sativa (garden lettuce). RNAcentral's name for it is "long non-coding RNA (LSAT_LNC003110)". The record is from RNAcentral. Lineage: Eukaryota; Viridiplantae; Streptophyta; Magnoliopsida; Asterales; Asteraceae.
GACAAUGGCAACGAAAGACAUGCUAUGAUCGAAAAGGUUGAUCAUAAGAGAAAGGCAAUGUCUGAAGUAGUUCCAUGUUCUGUUCCAAAAGAGUCAAUUUGCUUUUAUUGCCAAGAGAAGGGGCAUUGGAGACGAAGCUGCCCUAUUUACCUGAGAGAUCUGUCACACCCCAAAACCGGAACGGCGGAAACGUUAUGGGGUGGAUGACGUCAUGACAAGUAUCACAACACAUGCAUUAUAGUAAUCAAAGUACAACAAAACAUUGCAUUAAUAGUAAUAGUUUUACAUGGUUUACUUUACAAUACAUNUAAUAGAAUAAAUACACCAUGGUACUAAGCUAUCUUCAUCAACAGCUCCGGGGAUGUACCUGNNNNNNNNNNNNNNNNNNNNNNNNNNNNNNNNNNNNNNNNNNNNNNNNNNNNNNNNNNNNNNNNNNNNNNNNNNNNNNNNNNNNNNNNNNNNNNNNNNNNUUCAUGCGUCAGAAAGAGGGGAUUUCGGGAUUUCUUGCUGUUUUUUCUCAUGGAUACUUGCCUUAUCUGUUUUAGAUCAUUAUAACCCGAUUUUAUUCAUAUUUUUGAGUAUCUCCUUGAUUAAACAAAAGAUAAUUACCAAUUAAUUAGAUAAUAACUUCCUUAUAUGAUUAAAGUUGAUUAUGUGUAUUAAUUGGGUAACUUAUUAUGCAAGAAAUUGAAAUUAGGUCUAAUAUAGAUAAUGAUGAAAUUAAUUGUUUAAUUUAUAUUAUUUGUUAUUUGAUCCUUGUGUUAUGAAAAGUUUCAAUUUUCCCCUUUAGGUUUUAUAGUUUAAAUUUGAACUCAAAUGUUUAGUUUUGAAAUUUAAAUAGUUGAAACCCUAAUGUUUUGAAAAAGUUUCAAAACUUGCCCUCAAGUUUUGGAAUUUAAAUUUUGAUUAAAAGUUUAAUUUAGAUGUAUAUUUAAAUUCUAAACCCUAAUGUUUUGAAAUGUUUCAAAACUUGUUCUCAAGUUUUGGAAUUUAAAAGUUGAUUAAAAGUUUAAUUAGGAAUGUUAAAUUCUAAAACCCUAGUAUUGUUUUGAAAAGUUCAAAUCACACCCUUAUGGUUUUNNNNNNNNNNNNNNNNNNNNNNNNNNNNNNNNNNNNNNNNNNNNNNNNNNNNNNNNNNNNNNNNNNNNNNNNNNNNNNNNNNNNNNNNNNNNNNNNNNNNNNNNNNNNNNNNNNNNNNNNNNNNNNNNNNNNNNNNNNNNNNNNNNNNNNNNNNNNNNNNNNNNNNNNNNNNNNNNNNNNNNNNNNNNNNNNNNNNNNNNNNNNNNNNNNNNNNNNNNNNNNNNNNNNNNNNNNNNNNNNNNNNNNNNNNNNNNNNNNNNNNNNNNNNNNNNNNNNNNNNNNNNNNNNNNNNNNNNNNNNNNNNNNNNNNNNNNNNNNNNNNNNNNNNNNNNNNNNNNNNNNNNNNNNNNNNNNNNNNNNNNNNNNNNNNNNNNNNNNNNNNNNNNNNNNNNNNNNNNNNNNNNNNNNNNNNNNNNNNNNNNNNNNNNNNNNNNNNNNNNNNNNNNNNNNNNNNNNNNNNNNNNNNNNNNNNNNNNNNNNNNNNNNNNNNNNNNNNNNNNNNNNNNNNNNNNNNNNNNNNNNNNNNNNNNNNNNNNNNNNNNNNNNNNNNNNNNNNNNNNNNNNNNNNNNNNNNNNNNNNNNNNNNNNNNNNNNNNNNNNNNNNNNNNNNNNNNNNNNNNNNNNNNNNNNNNNNNNNNNNNNNNNNNNNNNNNNNNNNNNNNNNNNNNNNNNNNNNNNNNNNNNNNNNNNNNNNNNNNNNNNNNNNNNNNNNNNNNNNNNNNNNNNNNNNNNNNNNNNNNNNNNNNNNNNNNNNNNNNNNNNNNNNNNNNNNNNNNNNNNNNNNNNNNNNNNNNNNNNNNNNNNNNNNNNNNNNNNNNNNNNNNNNNNNNNNNNNNNNNNNNNNNNNNNNNNNNNNNNNNNNNNNNNNNNNNNNNNNNNNNNNNNNNNNNNNNNNNNNNNNNNNNNNNNNNNNNNNNNNNNNNNNNNNNNNNNNNNNNNNNNNNNNNNNNNNNNNNNNNNNNNNNNNNNNNNNNNNNNNNNNNNNNNNNNNNNNNNNNNNNNNNNNNNNNNNNNNNNNNNNNNNNNNNNNNNNNNNNNNNNNNNNNNNNNNNNNNNNNNNNNNNNNNNNNNNNNNNNNNNNNNNNNNNNNNNNNNNNNNNNNNNNNNNNNNNNNNNNNNNNNNNNNNNNNNNNNNNNNNNNNNNNNNNNNNNNNNNNNNNNNNNNNNNNNNNNNNNNNNNNNNNNNNNNNNNNNNNNNNNNNNNNNNNNNNNNNNNNNNNNNNNNNNNNNNNNNNNNNNNNNNNNNNNNNNNNNNNNNNNNNNNNNNNNNNNNNNNNNNNNNNNNNNNNNNNNNNNNNNNNNNNNNNNNNNNNNNNNNNNNNNNNNNNNNNNNNNNNNNNNNNNNNNNNNNNNNNNNNNNNNNNNNNNNNNNNNNNNNNNNNNNNNNNNNNNNNNNNNNNNNNNNNNNNNNNNNNNNNNNNNNNNNNNNNNNNNNNNNNNNNNNNNNNNNNNNNNNNNNNNNNNNNNNNNNNNNNNNNNNNNNNNNNNNNNNNNNNNNNNNNNNNNNNNNNNNNNNNNNNNNNNNNNNNNNNNNNNNNNNNNNNNNNNNNNNNNNNNNNNNNNNNNNNNNNNNNNNNNNNNNNNNNNNNNNNNNNNNNNNNNNNNNNNNNNNNNNNNNNNNNNNNNNNNNNNNNNNNNNNNNNNNNNNNNNNNNNNNNNNNNNNNNNNNNNNNNNNNNNNNNNNNNNNNNNNNNNNNNNNNNNNNNNNNNNNNNNNNNNNNNNNNNNNNNNNNNNUGUCACACCCCAAAACCGGAACGGCGGAAACGUUAUGGGGUGGAUGACGUCAUGACAAGUAUCACAACACAUGCAUUAUAGUAAUCAAAGUACAACAAAACAUUGCAUUAAUAGUAAUAGUUUUACAUGGUUUACUUUACAAUACAUCAAAGUAAUACAGAUAAUAGAAUAAAUACACCAUGGUACUAAGCUAUCUUCAUCAACAGCUCCGGGGAUGUACCUGUCUAAUGCUGACCUGAGAAUACAAGUUAUUUGAAAAGCGAGUAUCAGCAUUUUUACAAAUGCUGGUGAGUUCAUAAGUAUUUAGUGGCAUUUUAUCCAAAUAACUUUAAUAAAAGUGGUAGUUUUAGAGUAUCCAUUACAUUAGUGUCUUUUCCAGAAAAUCCUAUAUUUUCUUUAAUAAAAGCAGUCUUCUACCAAGACUGGACGGAGUUAUGUGGUAAAAAGUAGUUUUCCCUUAAUCGCUAUCAUUAUCAAAAUACAGAAUUUGANAAAUAACAUAUGCCUUAGCAGUGAGGACUGCUGACUAAGGCAAGAGGAAUCAUAGACUCUAGGAGAGUAUCGAACAAACGACACGUCUGGCUCAGUCUAACAAAGGAAGACACAGACCCCAGCCGGUACCAAAUGAAAGGUAUGGUUAGUAAGGUCUAAAAACAGUGAAUACAGACUGGUUAGUAAGGUCUAAAAACAGUGAAUACAGACCCCAGACAGUAUCGAAUGAAAGAUAUUGCUAGCAAGGUCUAAAACAGUGAAUAUAAACCCCAGACAGUAUCAAAUGAAAGAUACAGCUAGCAAGGUCUAAAACAGUGAAUAUAAACCCCAGACAGUAUCAAAUGAAAGAUACAACUAGCAAGGUCUAAAAACAGUGUGACUCCGAGAGUGGGUUCCCAGCAUACAGUGUAAAUUGCUGGUGAAAUACCAUUACCUUAAAGCCAUGAAUUAUAAGGUAACCUGGNUACUCGUAACCAUACUAACGGACACUAGAGUGUAUCACGAUGUGGAAGCGACAACAAGUGCAGUAAGAGCGUCUGACAGGUAUAAGCUAUCACAAGUAUAAGCGAAGUAUAGGUAAUAACAGGUAUAAACGCAUCACAAAGUGAAAGCGUUAUCAAGUAGGAACUUUAACUAAGGAGGAGUAUCAAAACAUGGAAGAAAACCUUUAUUCUUGAGAAUAUCACGACAGGGCAUUCUGUUGUAAAAUAAGUUUGAAAAACCUUUAGAAAUCCUUUGGAAAACUCUCAUAAAUCAGUUUUAAAUGAAACGUUGAUAAAACAAUAUAAGUAAAAGAUUUGAAUAAGUGAAAACAUUUUAGAAAACCCUUUAUAGAAUCAUACUCGAUAAAACAGUUAACAAUGUAGUAAAUCCUUGUGCAUGCGGGUUAUCAAUCACAUGUGAUUGAUAUGAUAACUGGCAUGUUUAACUUGUAUUCCCCCCUAUAAAACAUGUAAAAACAUUGAAAAGGUUCAUUCAGGGGUAUGAACUCACCUGGUGUAAGUGGAUCCGACGAAGGUGCCGGUUGGGUGCUCGGUGUCAAGUAAAGACUUGGACACACUUAGUGACCUAUUUAACAUAUGAUAACAUAUGUUCACAUACAAUUAGUACAUUUAAUACUAAUUAAACAAGUAUACGCUUCCUAAGUGCGAAAACACUUUUAAUUAAGCGUUAGGGGUGUCCCGGGUAACAUUUAAGGGUGUGUAAUGAUGCGUGGGACUUGGGAAUUGAGUUUACUCUUCAAGAGUAAACUCCUUAGGGAGUUUUCGGCCACAUACCCCAUACAUACAUGAGUUCACGGCCGUGAACUCAUGAUUGGGUGUUUUAGGGUGAUAAAUAGCUUAAAUGCACAUGGUUAAUGUUGGAAUGGAUUUUUCUAAAGCCUUGGAAUGGAUUGUACUAGCAUAUAUGUUAUUUAUGGGAGUUCACGGCAGUAAACUUGGAGUUUACGGCCGUAAACUCCCCCAAGCUCAAACCAUAAUUAUUUUGGAAGGCUAGGACAAUCACAUGUGAUUCUAACUAAUUUUCCAAGCCUUGGUAUGAGUUUUGGGCAUCAUUUGACACCUAUAGAGGAGUUUACGGCCUUAUGACUUGUCCUUGGGGUGUCAUGGUCGUAAACUCUCAUUUGGAGGGUGUUUGAUAUGCUAAAGUCCCCAUACAAUUUUUACUAGCCUUGGUAUGAAUUUAGGGCACCUUUUAACAUGUUUUAUGAGUUUACAACCCUGGAACUAUUUAUUGGGAAGCUGUGGCCGUAAACUCCUAAAUGGAAGGAGUUUGACAUGUUUAAGGUCCCCAAACUAUUUUUAGAUGAUUCUAGGAUUUAUUCCAAGGCUAUUGGUGUAGUUAUAUGGCUUUUAAACAUGUUUAAAUGAGUUUACUCCCCAUGUUUGAGGGGUUUACGGCCCAAGCAUAUUCCUUGGCCGUAAACUCUUAUUUACUCUUCAAAAUUCAUGUUUAGGGUGUUCUAAGUACGGAUUUGUAAGCCAUAUAGUCGUAUCUAAGCCCAAAAUUGGUUUAGAGGGGUUUUGGGGCUUAAAAACCCCAUUAAAUGGUGUUCACGGUCCAAGAGUGUUCUUGGGCCGUAAACACAUCAUUUUGUCCCUAUCUUAUGAUUUAAACACGAAUUUGUAUGCUAGAUAGGUUAUACAAUAAGUUAGGAUAGUUUACCUACUCGUUUGGGGCUCGAAACAGACUUUUAAAAAAGUAAAUAUUCUGUUAACGACGUUAACGACAUAUAAUAUAAAUAAAUAAAACAUUUAUUAAUUUUGGCGACCUCUAAUUAACGGAACUUUUAUAAAAUGAAAUAUUCCGUUAACGGUAACGGGGUAAUGUAACAGAAUAAACUUUGGGUUGUCACAAGAUCUAAGAGAUGGGAGAGUCAAAACGUAUGGAUCUGCUUUAGGUAAAAUCCAUUGACUAACUCUUUUAAGCUCCUAUUCUAGAUUCUUAAUACAUAAUGUGAUAAGAUUAGAAUUGAUGUUUUGUAGGAUCGAAGAAAGGAGAGGAAGCUUAAGGGAAGAAGUGAGCAGAAUCUAACCGUGAAGAAAUGGAUUUCGAUCGCAUUACUUGAAGAUUAGAUUCUUGAGCUACUACUUAGAGUUAGAAUUAGAUUGCUAAGAAAUAUGUAUUAGCAUAGUUUUUCAAUGAAUUGCAUUGUAAGGACAAAUUUUUUCCGCAAUAAAAUAAAUUUUGAUUUUAUAUUAUUUAUUUAUCCUUGCAACGGCGUGUAUGAAAAAAUAUUGUUUGAAUAUUUCUAUUAUUAGCAAUAAUGGAUUUGAUUCUAAAUUAUGGAAAUGUCGAAAAUUUACCAAAUAAGGAAAGUUUCUAAUCGCCCAAGUUUCAAUUGGACAAAAACUUGGAAUCAUGCAACUUGGUUGCACGAUGAAUGAGAAAUUUCAUAUUUGGAAAUUAGACUAAUUCAUUGACAAAGUGAAGGAAUAGGAGAUCAAGUACACAAAGUUGCGUAUUGAUCAAGUCCACCAUAAGAGUAACCAAGAUAUUCAUCAUGAUUUACUAAAGGUUUAGCAAAUAUGAUUAUACUUAUAAGAUUAAGUGUAAUUCUGAAUUGAUUGAAAAUGUUUAAAUCAAUAGCGGAACGAAUAAGAAGAAUCAAGUAGGCAGAAAGAUAAAAGUUUCUCCAUUCUAAGAAGAAGGGAGAGUACCUUUUAUGCUUUAUGAUAGGGCUUAAUGAUAACCAUAUCUUAAUUGAUCCUCUAAGUAAGUCUUAGUAUAGUUGUAUGUCUAAGAAGAGGAAUCAAGAAUUGAAGAAAUGGUUAAAUCAAGAAGUCAAUCAUACUUUGUUCCAAAAUAAGUCUUAGAGUUAUGAUUGUGAAAUUGUGUAAUAAGUAUUAAGAAGGUUUAUAACAUUAAUCAAAUGUGGAAAGUUGUGAUGUCUUGGAUAAGACAAAGACCAACUAGGACCUAUUUAUGAAGUGUUUUGAUAAAAACUACACUAACUCUUGAAUAUUUGUCAAGAAAUGUUUAUUGACAAGAGAAUCUUAUAUAUCGAGGAGUCAGUGGGAGUCUUAAUGGUCUUGAAAGGUUUCAAGAACAAAUCAAAAUAGACCUUAUUGAUCAUCACUAGCACACGAGUUGAGGUUUACAACCUAUCGUGUUGACACUAUAUUGUUUCUGUGUCGUUCCAGUUGAGUUAAUUAUGCAUGUGAGCCCUAUGAGUUCUCAUUUGAAUGCAUAAAAGGCAAGGACCUUGAUCAAUGAAAAGUACAUUGAUAGGAAAAGGUGAGCUGCUUAACUACUUGGAAGACAUGGUGGGCAGCUGUGCUACCAUAAGGCAAGAAAUCAAGAUUAAGAAAGUUCGGUCCAUAUGAGUUUGAAUUUGUCGUAAACUUUGGUUUUGACAAAUUCACAUGGAUAGGAACACAUACACCAUUAAAAUCUAAGUGUCAUAAGAUUCCCUCCUUCAUGAAAGUGACUGUGAGGAAAUGCUUUCACUAAGAAAGAUUUUAAGAAGAUAGUGAUUGUGAAAUUGAAUUCUCGAAUUCGAUUAUGGUUACGGUAUCCCUCUCCAUGAUUCGAAUUGUGAGAUUUGGCAAUUAGUCUGAAUUGUUUAGACACACAUAUGAGCUAUCUAAAGGAAAGGUGUAUAAGCUUAGAUAAAGGAUUAUCAAAGCAUUAGGUAUUAGAAACAUGAACUUAAGGAAUUCAACAGGUAUUGUUUUUUUUGGAAGUUAAGCUGGUUUCUGAAUACAUGUCAAAGCUAGUGGGAGCAUAAGUGUUAUGUUUAUAUUAAUCAUCAUGAUAGUGGGAGCAUAAAUGUUAUGAUAGAGUAUGACUAUUAUAGAAAGUAUUGCAAGUUAGCAAUAUUAAUUAUAGAAAACAAGAGUUAUACUUUGAAGAGUCGUAAUAGUUGAAAAGUUGUUUUGCAAUAAUUAAGGGAGAGAAUAUUAUGCUUCAUUUCAAAUCUAAAGGAUUAGGUUGUGGAAUGUUAAUAAUUUAGUCAAGGAAACAUAGUGUGUUCACUAAUUUCGAUUAUGAUUACUGCAUUCCUCUUCAUAGUUCGAAAUUAGAGAACAUAGCACAUAAAAUAUUAUGGCAGAAGAUUGAUAAAGUAUCAAAUCUUUAUGUAAGACGUUAUGCAUCGUGUCCCAUACGCUUCGGGUAUAGGAUCGAUUGUAAAUGCUAUAAUAUUUGACCAUUCUAAAAUUUUCCAAAUGUCUAGCGCAUUUAGAGGGAAAAAGGACAAGAAUCGGUUUUGACUAAGAUAAUUAAAGAACUAUCAAAGGACAAUCCAAAGUUCGCCGAUGAUUGGUCGCUUGUGAGUAGUUGGAAGCAUGAUAUUGGAUGGACCAUAUUGACAUUAUUAUGAAUAGAUAAGAUUCUGUUGAGAAUGAGUUGUCAUAUGGCAAAUAUGGAAACGUGUCCAUAUUGGGAAUUGAAUAUUGAAAUCUAUGUCUAGAUUAGAAAUUUUAUGCAAAAGGAUGUUCAAAUGAAUGUACUUUGAGUGAAAAACAUCACAUCUAAAGAAUUGUCUUGUAACAAUCUCUGAUAGAGGACUUUGUAAUUUCACUGGCAAUAGUCAGUGUGACUUUAGAGCAGUGAUAUUACGAAAGGAUCAUUGCAUAAAAUGUUAGAAUCAAUAUUGAAAUCUAUGUCUAGAUUAGAAAUUUUAUGCAAAAGGAUGUUCAAAUGAAUGUACUUUGAGUGAAAAACAUCACAUCUAAAGAAUUGUCUUGUAACAAUCUCUGAUAGAGGACUUUGUAAUUUCACUGGCAAUAGUCAGUGUGACUUUAGAGCAGUGAUAUUACGAAAGGAUCAUUGCAUAAAAUGUUAGAAUCUAGCAUAUUCCAUAAGUGGCAAGAAUUUGAUAUUCUUUCACUCAUGAAAAAGGAUUAGGAGUUGUGAAAUGAGUAUGAUUGGAAAUGUGUUCAAUUUGAUCUAUUUCACAAAGUAAGAACCAUAGCUAAGCAUUGUGUGCAUGAUAAGAGCAUGGGACAAGUGUAAUAAUUCAAGUAAGAUGUUGAUUACCCGAAACAACAAAUAAUGAGUAAUCGAUAUGGUGCUAAAUUUAAAGUGUUUUAUUUAUGCUCAAAGGUUUGAGGCUAUAUGGAUUAGUAUUAUUCUUGUGUUUCACUUUGCAUGUUUUGACUUCCUGAAUAAUUUAAUUGGUUUAGAACAGUCAAAUUAUUCGAACGGACCACAGUCGUUCAUAUGUUGGAAGUACGUAUGAAUAAAGACUGUCAAUAAUUGGUGUGUGGAUUGUCUAAAGAGUAUUAGACAUAAGCAAAUGUUUGCUGCAACGUUCAUGAGUGCUUAUGAAUAUGAUUUGAGCAUUGGAUUAAACCCACGCUCACUUGGAUCACUCCAUGAAUUGUAUCACAAGUGAUUGGUGAGACGAUAACAUCUUAUAUUCUUGAAACCGAGAUGUGUGAGUUGUAUCUUGCAAAUCGGUUGCACAUUGAUAAUAUGUAAACGCACCAGUAACUUGGUGUCAUAAAAUAUAUUGUUGUGUGUGAUUCGGUGAGUGAGUGCAAGCGAGCAUUGAAUCAAAGUUUAUCCGUUCCUUUUAUCCAAAGUAGGAUGAAAGCGAUAUCUUUGGGCCCCUCGAUGAUUUAGUCAUGACAAACGUAAAUGCUCGGUCGGGCUAGGAGUAAUUUGAUUUGUUCAAUUAGUCUGUCGUCAUAAAUCGAAAGUUGAGAAAUGGUACAGAGAGAAUGAUUGGAAAUCAUGUCUCAUACGAUAUCUAGAAUGGAGGAAUAUAUGAUCCCUUAUCUAAAGGACAUGCAUAUCUGAUAGGAUCAAAGUUGACAGCGGCUUUGGAAAGCUACAAAUUCAGAUCAGGAUCUGAAGUCAUACGCAUAAUAGUUAUUAGACUUAUCCAAGUGGGAGACUGUUGGAUUAGUGUCUAAGUCCAUAACUAUUUUGGUAUGUACUUGACCCGAUGGUGCAUGGUCCUUUUGGGUUGCCUUCACCAAAGCAACUUGAUAGGAUGAAUUAUGGAGAGAAAGGAUUAAAUAUGAUUGAUUAAUAUAUUAUGGGAAUAAUAUAUUAAAGGGGAAAUCAUAUUGUUUAAUUAAUAUUAGUCAAUAAUUAAUAAGAAUUAAGUUUGUGACUAAAAGAGAUUAAUUAAACUGAAGGGACUGAAAUUGUAAUUAUAAGAUAAUUGCAAUUGGGCUAUGGAUUGACUUAUAUUAUAAGGAUGGACCAAUUCUAUGGGGAAACCCAUUAGAAAUCGUCCAAGGCCUUAAGGAAAGGAGUCCAUGGGUUGCUUAGGGCUUAAGCAUCCAAAUUAGGGUUUCCUUCUUAGAUAACCCUAAUAGCCUCACUAUAUAUAGAGCCCUUAUUCCCCAAAAACGUGGACAAGCUUCCUUCUAGGGUUUCCACACGUUUUGGGCAACCUCCCUCUCUUCUGUUCUUCAUCCUCUUGCUCUUGGUGUUUGUGAACCAUUAGAGGAGUGACAUUUGUGAUUCUAAGCUUUCUAAAGUCAUUACAAGGAGGAUUUGUGAUUGUUAUUGCUACAUAACAAUCAAGGUAUAAUCUAAACCCUUAUUAUAUGUUAUAUUGAUUAUCAUAUGCUAGAUCUAGGUUUUAUAGUCUUGGAUAAAUUGCAUGUACAAUAGAUAAACCUAGAUCCAAGCAUUAGGGUUUGUAUGCGCACAUAGGAUGUUCUUAUAGCCAAAACCCAUCAGAACUCACCUUGUGUUUGGUGAUUCAAAUGGUUCAAGUAAGCAUUGAGCAGUUCCACAAUUGAAGUCCCGAUAUACAAAUGAGUCCUAAUGACAUAUAUUGAUACAUAUAUGUGUAUAAUUAGUGUAUAAUACAACUAAUCAUGAAGGAAACAACCUAAGGGACUAAGGAUUUUGGACAUGAAGAGAUCAAUCACAUGUGAUUGAUAAAAGGGAAGUGUGUUGCCACACUUAAGUGUGUUUACGGCCAACACACAUGAGUUUACGGCCAAACAAGGAGUUUACGGCCAUAAAAUCAUGGACAUAAUGAUUAAGUGAGUGUUUUAAGGUCCUAGCAACAUCCAUUAAGAGUUCAAGGUCAAUGGCAUGCUUGUUGGAAGAGUUUAAGGCCCAAAAUGCAACAACCAUAGAGUUUACGGUGAAGGGUGUUCUUGGGCCGUAAACUCAAGAUCUUCUUGAGAAAUAGAAGUUUCUAGGGAUGGAGUUCAAGGCUUCCUAGUAGAUAUGAAGUAUAAUGAAGAGUACUUACGAUAUAGAAGCUUGAAAGGGUCGUUUUUGGCCAAGAACACUAGUGUAUGUUCUUGGUGUUUCUUGAAGAUCUAAACAAACAUGAUUUUCAUGGAUGAAAUCAAUGAAUGAAGCUAGUUUAUAAGGUGUAUCAACUAAUCAAGGGAUAUAAUACUUACACUUUUGAUGAUCUAAGGAUAGAAGAUUGGAUGAUAGUUGAGAGAGAAUGAGGGAAAAUCGACCAAGGAAGGAAAGAAAUGAUAAAAAUGGCCAUGACUUCCAAAUAAAGGGUGAGUUUACAGCCCACAUGGAGUUUAUGACCGUAAAAUCCAUUGUAGUGGCCGUGAACUCCUGACUUUUGUGUUGGCGGCUCGAUCAUUGUUCCGUGGUUCUAGCUGGUACUUCCUAGCACUGAUUUCUUGAGUGUAUUGGGCUCAUAAGACUCAAAUAGGCUCUAAACAAUGCCAAAUGUUAGCAGGAGUGAGUAUGACUUCUGUUCCAUCUGCAUCUAUUGUCUUGAUUGGCGGGAAGGUUUUAGUUUGGCUUCUAGGUUUAUUCGCAUGGCAGCACGAUCACUCGUAGUCUUGAGCAGUCUCCGUCCUAAAGUUCAUAAUAGAACUCAUACCAGAUUCAUUGAUCAUAGUCUUUUGUAUACGAGCUGUUUAUAAUUAAAAUUGAAAAAGUAGUCGAAUAAAUGAUUCCUCUCUAAACUCACAUCCAAACAUGGAAAAGAAGUUAAAGCGAAAUCAUCAAUUCUAAGCUUGUAGAACCUUGAUUAUGUUGGGUUUUGAGCAAUCUAACACUUCCUAAGUGUGCAUGCAACCCUAAUAAACCUUGGAUCUAUGUUUGUCUAAAUACAUGCAAAAUAAUAAUUUUCCAAGGUUUAUAACCUAUCUAACAUGGCAUGGGGAACAUUUCAACAUAAAAGAGUUAGAAGAGAUUACAUACCUUUUGGUGUGUUGGGUUCUUAGGAGUUUGAGGGCCAAGCACCAAUAGUGUGAAUGCCUCAAAUGGAAUCACAAACACCACAAACUCUUGGAAAACUUUGAGAGAGUAUACACACUCUUGUAUUUUCGGCCACACACAUGCACACACACACUAGAACACUAGCUUUCUCUUAGGCUAUCUUAGGCUCUCUUUCAUGCUCCAUAAGCAUGCUUAUAUAGUAUGCAUGGUUAGGGUGAAACCCUAAUAACCCAUGUCUUUUCCUAUUCCAAGGAUCCAUGGGUUAAAAGCUCCAUGGAUCAUCCAUGGACUUCCACAUAAGCCUAGCCCAUUAACAAAUGAGUAUUAGCCCACACUAUAUAAAACAAAUAGCCCAUAAUUUAAUUAGUAUUCCUUUUAAUCUCUAAAUUAAUCCAUAAUUAAUUUAAGACUAAAACUAAUUAAAUAACGUAACUUCAUAUUAAUAUAUUAUAACUCAUAAUAUAUUAAUAAACAUAUGUGUAUAACUCUCAUAAAAUUAUCCAUAAUAGUUUGGAUGAGAUGCAACCCAAAUGGACCAUGCCGGUCGGGUCAAGUAUAUACCAAAUAAGUUAUGGACUUAGACACCUUAUCCAACAGACUCCCACUUGGAUAAGUCUAAUAACUAUAUUUGCCUAUAACUUCAGGAACCAACCAACAAUCGUAGCUCUCGAAAACUCCCUCGAACAAUGAAGACUCUGUCGAACUAUGAAGCGCCAUUUUAGAUAAGUGAUCACAUAAUCCUCUGUUCUCAUGAUAUCAGCCGGACAAACACAUGGAACUAUGUCUUGCUUAUUGUCUAGCAGUUGUUUCUCGAUUAUCCGAUUUGUUUGACGAAGAACUUCACUGAACACAUCGGUUUAGUUCUGACCAGGCCUGGUAUAUGGGUCAACACAAAAUCAUCGAGGGGCCCGGAUAUCGCUUCUAUUUCUAGAAGGAACAGAUAAACUUCGACUGAUAUGCUUGUUCUACUACUUAUUGAAUUGUACACAAAGGCACGUUUUAUAACAUCAAGUUACUGAUGCGUUUACGUGCAAUCAAUGCACAACCAACUCAUAGGUAACAACUCAUAUCUCUAGGUUUAAAGAUUUAUAUGAUGUUAUCGUCUCACGAUCACUCGAGAUAAAUUCCAUGAAGUGAUACAAGUGAGCGUGGGUUUAUACCAAUACUCAUAACUUAUGAGUACUCAUGAAUGUUGCAGCAACCAUUGCCAUGCCUAAACACCUUUAAGGCAUCUACAAACCCAAUUCAUGACAAUCUUGAUUCAUACCUACUUCCGACGUAUGAUCGAUUGUGGAGGUUUGAACAAAUUAAUUAUUCUGGAAGUCAAAACAUGCAAAACUGAAACAAUAGUAAAUAAUUGACAAUGAUAGUAACACUUUACUCAUAAAUAAAUCACAAAUUUUAUUCAUCAUCAAACGUCGAUUACAUUUUACAAGUUUCAGGAAAACUAUCUAAUCUGUAAAACUAAUAUCGUCCCUCAGCCCGAUGCGUCUCGCAUGCUGAAAAUGCUUAACCCUCGUCAGUCCCUUCGUAAGGGGAUCUGCAGGAUUCUCAUCUGACGAUAUCCUCCUUGUCACAAGGAGUCCUUCUUCAAUCUUGUGCCUUAUGAAGUGAUAUUUUCUGUCAAUGUGUCGGGAUCUGCCAUGAUCUCUUGGUUCCUUGGCUAAGAUAACCGCAGCAUUGUUGUCACAGAAAAUCUCUAUAGGUUCCUUAAUAGCUGGUACAACUCCAAGGUCUCCGAUGAAGUUCUUUAGCCAUAUCGCCUCCUUCGCUGCUUCACUCGCUGCUAUAUACUCUGAUUCACAAGUCGAAUCAGCCACCGUCUCCUGCUUGGAACUCUUCCAAGAAAUUGCCCCUCCAUUUAAGGUAAAGAUCCAGCCCGACUGAGAGCGGAAAUUAUCCCUAUCAGUCUGAAAACCAGCAUCACUAUACCCUAAUAUUCUCAAGUCAUCACUGCCACCAAGGGUAAGGACCCAAUCCUUAGUCCUCCGCAGGUACUUGAGAAUGUUCUUUACCGCGGUCCAAUGAGCCUUGCCAGGGUUCCCCUGAUACCUGCUGACCAUGCUCAAAGCAAAUGCCACAUCAGGACGGGUACAAGUCAUAGCAUACAUGAUCGAGCCAACUGCGGAAGCAUAUGGUAAUUGGCUCAUCUCAGCUAUCUCAGCCUCUGUACUCGGACUCUGAGUCUUACUCAGUUUGGUAUUGCUUUGGAUCGGUAAAUCUCCUUUCUUGGAAUUCUCCAUGUUGAACCUUUUCAACACCUUAUCCAAGUAGAUACUCUGACUAAGUCCAAUUAGUCUUCUACUCCUUUCUCUUAAUAUCCUUAUCCCUAGGAUAUAGGUAGCCUCCCCUAGGUCCUUCAUAGCAAAGCACUUCCCAAGCCAGGACUUAACCUCCUGCAAGGUUGGGAUGUCAUUUCCUAUGAGUAGUAUGUCAUCCACAUACAGUACCAAGAAGCUAACUAUACUCCCACUAGCUCUGACAUACACGCAAGACUCAUCUUCGCUUCUCAAGAAGCCAAACUCUUUUACCUUCUCAUCAAAACAAAGAUUCCAGCUACGAGAUGCUUGUUUUAAUCCAUAAAUGGAUUUCUUAAGCUUGCAUACUCUAUUAGGGUACUCUGCAUUGACAAAACCCUCUGGCUGAUUCAUGUACACAUCCUCAGCCAACUUUCCAUUAAGGAAAGCGGUUUUGACAUCCAUUUGCCAUAUUUCAUAAUCAUGAAAUGCUGCAAUGGCUAACAUAACCCUAAUAGACUUAAUCUUGGCCACCGGCGAGAAGGUUUCAUCAUAAUCAAUACCUUGAGUUUGAGUAAAACCCUUCGCAACCAGUCGAGCCUUAUAAGUAUGCACUUUUCCUUCCAUGUCGGUCUUCUUUUUGAAGAUCCAUUUGCACCCGACUGUUUUACGGCCUGGUACAUUGUCAACCAAGUUCCAAACUUGAUUGUCAUACAUGGACUGUAUCUCGCUGUCCAUAGCCUCCUUCCAUUUAGCAGACUCCGGGCCUGCCAUGGCUUCCUUAACACUGCUAGGUUCAUCCAAAUUUACUAGUGUACUAUCACUAAUAAACGUAUCACCUUCCGUAGUAAUAUGAAAACCAUAAUAAAACGAAGGUGUGUUCCUAACCCGUGUGGAACGUCUCGGAGGUACAGACUCGUCAGCUGGAUCAACAGGAGUUUCUUCCUCAGGUUGAUUGCUAGUGUCUGAGGUUCCUUCACCAAUUGAUUCUUGAAUUUCUUCAAGAUCAAUCUGCCUCCCACUGUCUCCUUGGCUUAUAAAUUCUUUCUCGCGAAAGAUCCCUCUUCGUGCUACAAAGACCACAUUCUCACUGGGUCUGUAGAAAAGGUAACCGAAGGAUUUCUGUGGGUAGCCGAUGAAAAUACACCUUUCACUUCGGGGUUCAAGCUUAUCAUGAGUUUCACGCCUCACGAAGGCUUCGCAACCCCAAAUUUUGAUGUGGUCCAAAUUGGGAACCUUCCCAGUCCACAUUUCAUGAGGUGUUUUGGUAACCUUCUUUGUAGGGACUAGAUUAAGGAUAUGGGCGGCAGUCUCUAAGGCAUACCCCCAAAAAGAGAUUGGUAACGAAACUCGACUCAUCAUAGAGCGAACCAUGUCCAACAAGGUACGAUUACGCCUCUCAGCUACACCAUUCAGCUGUGGUGUCCUGGGAGGAGUCAAUUGUGAGACAAUCCCACACUCCUUAAGAUAGUCAAGGAACUCGGUACUAAGAUACUCACCACCUCGAUCGGAUCGAAGCAUCUUAAUGUUCCUGCCCAAUUGAUUUUCUACUUCCUGUUUGAAUUCCUUAAACCUUUCAAAGGUUUCGGACUUGUGUUUGAUCAAGUAGACAUACCCAUAUCUACUAUAAUCAUCAAUAAAAGUCACAUAAUACCGAUUAGCGUCCCUUGUGGCGGUUUUGAAUGGCCCACAUACAUCAGUAUGUAUUAGGUCCAACAAACCUUCACCCCUCUCACAAGUUCCAGUGAAGGGUGAUUUUGUCAUUUUUCCAAGUAGACAAGAUUCACAACUAUCAUCUGAUUUGAGGUCAAAUGAUUCCAAGACUCCACUCUUUUGGAGUUGGUCUAUGCGUUUCUUGUUUACAUGUCCAAGACGACAAUGCCACAAUGAUGCUUUAUCUAGGCUAGUAGAAGAAUCAAUAUACAACACAUUAUUUCCUAAGUUGUCUACAAUCGACACAGUUUCAUACACGCCAUCACAAGGUAAUGCUUUAAAAUAAAACACAUUAUUAAAGAAAGCAUUAAUACCACCACAUUCAUUAUCAAACGAAAAGGUAAAACCUUGUUUGUACAAAGCAUGAAAAGAAAUAAUAUUCCUCGCCAUUUCAGACGAGUAUACACAUUUAUUCAAAUCUAAUUUUAACCCAUUAUUAAGCAACAAAGUAUAAACUCCAAUCUUGGAAACAGGUGAAGCCUUCCUAUUCCCCAUGAUUAAGUUUAUCUUCCCGUGCUCCACAUCCUCACUUCUUCUUAGGCCCUGCAAAUCAGAACAUAUGUGAAUACCACAUCCUGUAUCAAGCACCCAAGAGUUAGAAUAUGUUGAGUAAUUAGACAAUAUAGUGUAAAUACCUGCAUAGGUGGGUUUCACUUUCCCAUCCUUUAGAUCCUGCAAGUACUUAGGGCAGUUUCGCUUCCAGUGUGCCUUUUCAUGGCAAUAAAAGCAUUCAGCAUCCUUUGGAAUGGCAGAAGGAGUGACAGAACCGUUCUUAGUCUUGGAUGAGGAGCCUUCAAGAGACUUUCCCUUGGUACCCUUCGAAGGGUGCUUCCUCUUUUUCCCUUUGCCUUGCCCAAUAGCUAAAACAGGGGUAGAAGUUGGAGUAGGAGUAGUAGAGGUAACAACCGCUUUACCCUUAAGACCGGUUUCAGCGGUCUUCAAGAGUCCUUGAAGCUUGCUGAGGGUAACUUCCUCCUUGUUCAUAUGAUAUGUCAUUCGAAAAUGAUCAUAACAAGAAGGCAAGGAGUGCAAAAUGAUGUCAAUUGCUAACUCCUCGGGGAUGUUAACAUUCAGCUUCAGCAAACGGUCCACAUACCUUUGCAUCUUUUGCAUGUGGCCCGUGACGGAUUCACCGUCCUUCAUGCGGGUAGUUAUUAUGGAGGAGAUUAUUUCAUACCGCUCCUGACGAGCACUCUGAUGGUACCUUUCCAUCAAGUCUUGGUGCAUCUCAAAAGGGUAGAAAUCUUCAUAUGACUUUUGGAGCUCGGCUGUCAUCGUGGCCAUCAUGAUACAUGCCACCUUAGUAGCAUCUCUCUCAUGAGUCCUGAAUUCAGCGAUCUCCUCAGGAGUAGCAGUAGACUCAUCAAGUUCUUUUAACUCCUUAUCGAGGACAUAUUCCUUGUCCUCGUAACGAGUAACCAUCCUGAUGUUCCUAAUCCAAUCCAUGAAGUUGGAACCAUCAAAGAUGACCCUCCCACAAAGAUUCAUGAGAGAGAAAGAACCAGUUGGGUUAGAGCCUGAAGCAUUAGUGUUGGAAGACAUCUGAAAGAAGAAAGUAAGUUUAGAUUAGAUAUUUAGGAUCCUUAAUAAGACACCCAAAUGUAAUAUUAAGGCUAGGAUCCAAUCACAAUAUAUUACACUUAGAAGAGGGAUGCCGUAAUCUAAGUAAUAAUAUAUUUGAAAGGUAGGCGAAUGACGAUUCACCAAUUUCCACCAUGAAAACGAAAUGAUUAAUUAGGUUUAAUUGGAUUUGAAAUUCCUAGAUUCUUUUGAGAUUCAUUGAACUUUUCAAUGGCAUGUUUCAAUCUCGAUUGUGCCCUUCAAGUUUUGUGACUGGGAUGCCGAGGAUCACAAAACAAGGUGUGAAUAACCAUGCUAACUCACUUGGUACUCCUAAUAUUAUCACCUAAUCAAUGUGCCGGUUAACCACACACGCUCCAUUGAUCUAUGACAACAUUAAGUUACCCUUCGUGAUCCUUACUAGUCUAAUUAGUGUGCCGGUUAACCACACACGCUCCACUAACGACUUGGUAAGGUACAAAGUGUGAAUUCCAUGGAUUAGCACCAUGUUCACAUUUUCCUAAAAUAACUAAGAUUGGGAAUUAAAAGAGUUUAGUUAUUUUAUAAUAUUCAUUAUACUUUUAAUGAGGAUUUAAAGUCGUUGUUCUACCCGUUCGGCUAACGACCCUCCACCGAUCAAGCAAGCGGUGGGUGAGAGUAUACACCCAUUAAGUCGCCAUUUUAUAGGCAACAACCUUAUACCCACCUUAUAGACCGGCUUCGUGAAUGAGGCCUACUAACGGUAAAACGACUUAUUCUUAUACAUAUAUAUAAUAAUUAACCAUUAAUGUUAUAAAUAGUAUAAGGGUUGAAUUUUAACUAUUAAAACUCUAAGGUUUGGAAUUAAAGUUUAUUAAAGUGUGUGAAACUUUACAAAUUCCAAAACUUGAGGACAAGUUUUGUAACUUUGCAAAACUCUUCAUUUCAUAACUUAUGAAUUAAAGGUUCAUAAAAAUGAAGACUCUUCAUUUUCAUGUAACUUAUGUGUUUUAAGUGUGUGUUAAAUGAAAGUGACCUUUGGUAAUCCAUAACUUGAGGACAAAUUAUGGACUCCAUUAAAACACAUAAAUGAUUAAGAAUUAAUUCUAAACAAUUCAGCAAAUAAUUCCUAUCAUUUUCUAAAUUCAUAAGAACAUGAACAUGAUCAUCAAAAAUUCAAGAAUUAUAUGAACACAUAAAAUCAUGGAUUUUUGAUAUAUGCUAUUGUAAAUGGAUUAGAACAACCAUUACACCAACUAAAAUAAGUUUUACAACACCAAAACAAUUUAGGGUAAUGUUUCCAGUCCAUUUCCAGCAGCAAAAGUCGAGAUUCUGCAUUCUUUCGAUCCUACUCGCCGAGUGCACGAACGGACUCGUCGAGUAGGUUGAAGUUUGCCUUGGACUCGGCGAGUCCCCCCAAUGGACUCGGCGAGUCUAGCAUGCAGACAGCAACGAUUUCGACUUUUUUCACUAUUUUGCAUCAAGUAUCAAACAAGCAAGCCUAGGCUCUGAUACCACUGUUGGGUUUUGAGCAAUCUAACACUUCCUAAGUGUGCAUGCAACCCUAAUAAACCUUGGAUCUAUGUUUGUCUAAAUACAUGCAAAAUAAUAAUUUUCCAAGGUUUAUAACCUAUCUAACAUGGCAUGGGGAACAUUUCAACAUAAAAGAGUUAGAAGAGAUUACAUACCUUUUGGUGUGUUGGGUUCUUAGGAGUUUGAGGGCCAAGCACCAAUAGUGUGAAUGCCUCAAAUGGAAUCACAAACACCACAAACUCUUGGAAAACUUUGAGAGAGUAUAUACACCUUGUAUAAAUCGGCCAUACACAUGCACACACACACUAGAUCACUAGCUUUCUCUUAGUGUAUCCUAGGCCCUCUUUCAUGCUCCAUAAGCAUGCUUAUAUAGUAUGCAUGGUUAGGGUGAAACCCUAAUAACCCAUGUCUUUUCCUAUUCCAAGGAUCCAUGGGUUAAAAGCUCCAUGGAUCAUCCAUGGACUUCCACAUAAGCCUAGCCCAUUAACAAAUGAGUAUUAGCCCACACUAUAUAAAACAAAUAGCCCAUAAUUUAAUUAGUAUUCCUUUUAAUCUCUAAAUUAAUCCAUAAUUAAUUUAAGACUAAAACUAAUUACAUAACGUAACUUCAUAUUAAUAUAUUAUAACUCAUAAUAUAUUAAUAAACAUAUGUGUAUAACUCUCAUAAAAUUAUCCAUAAUAGUUUGGAUGAGAUGCAACCCAAAUGGACCAUGCCGGUCGGGUCAAGUAUAUACCAAAUAAGUUAUGGACUUAGACACCUUAUCCAACAGAUUAUACACCAACAUUGUGUAUACAUUCCUCUGCGAUAGAUCAACCGUAGGGGUCCUUGGUAUUAAACUUGACGUACUGUACGAGUGGUAUUCUAUAGAGGUUUGCUGAGGUUACUUUGGGUAAGCUACAAAACAUAAGGCACUCUACGCAUGAGUACUUCUGAGUUCUUGGAACGACGGCUUCGUUUGAAUGUCGGUUACAGGGAAAAGAAUUCAGCACGAAACUGGCACUAUGAGGAUCGAAUCGACUCAAGUCAUUUAAUGAAAAACUACUCGCAAUAACUGGUGUUAGACUAGAUCAAAAAGAUGUUAUAAAAACACAACGGUGCAACUUAUAAAAGAGUUUUAAUACAUUAGUUCCAUCUACGAAACCACAACUGCGAACAAGAUAUACUGCUAAAGGCAAGUAUAUGCAGCACGAGAGUCCCUGACAUUGAUGAGGUCUCGAAAAAGAUAAAACUCUAGUUGGACUAGUUUUCAAAAGUUUAAAAGUCUAACAUUUACGCUACAGAACACAUUAGAAUUUCAACGUGGAUCCGGAGUAGUCUCUCCUGCGGCUGUGAUCAUCAGUAUUCUUCCGUUUGCGUCAGAGUUCCUUGUUAUUGGGAAAUGUCUCUUCAAGUGCCCUGUCUCGCCGCACCCAUAUCAAGCCUGGCUGAACUCGGUGCCUGGGACAUGGGAGACAGGUUGUGCUGGUGCUCUACAGAACGAGCAAUGUGCCUCUUUUUGUGGGAAUUUUUACAAUGCAUCUCGUGGCACGCUCCGGUGUGAUGAAAUGCGCACCUGUCACACUUAGGAAGUGUUCCAGCAUAAUUAUUGAAAGUUUUUGGGUUGGCCGGAGUUGUAGCAGCGUAAAUCUUCGCCUUCUGCAUUGAUUUCCUUUUAUUAUCAUCCCAAGACUUUCGCUUGCAGGCAUCCCCCUUUGAUGACUCAGAAUUCAGGGUAAUUACGCCUUGACCGACUUCGUGGUCAACAAGUCUCUGAGCCAAGCGCUUUGCGCUACCGAAAGUGAUUGGUUUGGAUGAUAAAACAUCUCCUUGCAUUGGAGGAAAUAAUCUACAAAUGUAUCUCUCUACCUUCUUACUCUCGGGAGUAACCAUCUCUGGGCAUAGUGCCGCAGGUUCACUAAAUCUAUUAAUGUAGGUCACUAUAUCAGACCCAACCAUUUUGAGAUUCCAAAGCUCUUCUUCCGGCUUUUGAAUCUCACCUCUGGGGCAGUAUUCUUCUCUCAAUAGUUCUUACAUGUUCUCCCAUCCCAUUGAAUUUUCCACUGUCAGACCCAGUGACUUCACAUGGCCAUUCCACCAUGUGAAGGCUCUCUAUGUGAAAGUGCAAGUGACGAACUUUACCUUGCUUCUUUCCGGACAUUUGCAGAUUUCGAAGACUGACUUUGUCUUUUCAAAUCAUUGCCUCAUAACAAGGACUCCUCCAGUUCCAUCGAAAUCUUUGGGCCUGCAGUUCCUGAAUUCCUUAUAGGAACAUUCUUUCUGAUGCACAUGAUUAUGGGUGAUGACACCUUCACCCGUCUCGCCGGUAACUGUCGCGUGGUAGUGUUCCAUGGCUACGGAAACUGUAGCUGUGACUGCUGCCUGUAAUACUGCAACAUCGAAUUGUGGUGGUGGUGGCGGUGGUGGAGUUCCCGUCGCUUGGGUGAUAAAGCGUAUAGGAGUUCUUCUGGGAGGCAUCUUUUAUCUAGAUAGAUGAAAGACAAGAUAGGGAUAAGUUUUUAGGAAUGAAGUCAAGUCAAAUGUUAUUUCGAACUGAGGGUUUCAUGUUUUCAAAGUGAUUCUGGAAACAAUUCAUAACAGAGGUCUUUAGACUUAUGAAUUCAUGGUUGUGAUUAUCCCUAACUGAAAGCCUAUGAUCUGAUUUACCGUAACUUACAAGUUAUAGGUGUAUAGACUUUUAUCCCAUCACAUAGUGAGUAGUAGUGUAUCCACUAACUCACUAGGUCGUAUUAGUCUACUAGCUAUUAGAGUGACGCGUAAGGUUCCUGUCACUUGGUAUGACUCGCGAGUGGUUUCCUCUGGUCCCUGUCCUACUCCUGAUGUAAGUAAUCUGAUGUCCUCUUAGGUUCCUAUGAUGUCAUCUGGCAUACCUUUAGCUUCGUACUCCUUGUCUGAUCCCUUCUCGAAGUUCUCUCUGUGGUUUCCUCCUUGUUCUUCCUUGACUCCUCUGUCGACUAUCACAACGAUAUAGUGUCUUUAACUAAGUCGUUGGUUCGAGAAUGGAAAUGUGUAAAGAACCAAUGAGAAUACUUAAUCUAUUUCUAGUACUAAAUUUUUAACUUGAGAGCCUUAUUGAGUCUUUCUAUAAUCACAUAGGGUAUACAAAUUAUAUAACUCGGGUCUAAUAGUCAUUCGAAUAUGUGAUACUACUCCAAAUCCACAUCCAGACAAGGAAAAGGAAGUGAAGCGAAACCACACAUUCUAAGUCUAUGAGAUCUUUAUUAUAUAUAACUCUAGGAUAUCUACACUUUGCCAUUAUAGACCGAUUAGUAAAGGUCUUUUUAUUCUCAUAUAAUUAUUUACAGUUAUUGAAGAUACCCCUAUAGUAUCUCUGUUUUGGGUUUGGUUCUUAGGUUUCUUGUUAUCGUACACUUUUAGUACUAUUAUUGGAUAGUAUCUCAAAAUACACAGAUAGUAUUUUACUUUAUGUUUACUUCUUAAGACUCCUUUGGACCUAGCAUUUGGUAAGUUUUAGGUUUGUCGCAACACCACUAUCAUCCCCGAACACAUGUUCAGCAUAUCUAAAAUAAAUAUAGCUGAUCAUGCUAUAUUUAUUCCAGAUAUGAUUACAUAACUUUCCAAUUUUGACUGUUGUCCCCAACAAUUAAAUACUUUUGUUCUGUUCUACAUGUGAUACUUAUUCUAGUAUGUAUGUAUGUGAGCAUGUAUACUUUUGGAAAAUAUUGAUAUAUUUAUAAAUGUACUUUUAGACAGAGCACUUCAGCCCCAUUGUAUUUAUAGUUGUAUAUCUUUUAUAGGUUGAUAUACUUAGUUCACUAUAAACAAUGCUCUGAUACCAAUCUGUCACACCCUAAAACCAAGAAGGGUAGAAACGUUCUGGGGCGGUGGACGUCAUAUGUAGUAUCACGACAAUUGAAUAAAGAAAUCAAAGCAAUAACAUUCUUUAAUAUAUAUAAGUAAAAGUGUUUACGUUAAGAUCAAAACAUUACAUGUGGUUAUAGCAUAAUAGUAUCAGUAGAUAAGACGAGAAAAUAUUGCCCCGUCUUCACGAACUCCGGUUGGAUACCUGUCUUAAUAUUAUACCUGAGAAUACAAGUAUUUUGAAAGCGAGUAUCAGCUAUAAAGCUGGUGAGUGCAUAAGAUUUAGUUUAAAGUAAGAAACUUCUUUGACAUUUAAACAAGUUUGAAAGACUGACAAGAAAACCCUAUGUUUCCUUAAAAGUAAAGUAAUAUUGAAACAAUUUCUUCUAUAAUCAUUUAGUAUAUACUAAUUGCAUAUAAUCAAUAUGAGAUGGAUAGUCAGUUGUGUAAUUCGGUCGUACCCCCAUAUGCAAUCAAGGAAAAUGGAAAGUAAAAUUGGGUUCACACAAUCUCCAAUCUAUCUACUCUUCAUUAUACAUAAUCUUUCGUAUGAACUGAAGGAUUAUAGUUAUAAUUAACAGUAAUCUGUACUAUUUUGAUUCUGACUAAGAGAUGAGUUAUUAUCCAUGAAAACUUAGCUUAUACACGUUACGAUAUAAUCAAGAUGGGGCGGAUAAUAAAAUGUGUGGUUCUACCCUAGUUUCACAUCCAAACAAGGAAAAGAAACUAAGUUAGAAACCUAACCUUCUAUGGUCUACCAGAUUUUCGUUAUAUAUAACUCGGGAAUGUAUAAGCGAGGGAAUCAUAAUAAUAACCUUCUUACGAAUCCUUUUUAGUGAACUAGAAUGCCUAGUAAUUCUUACUAGAAUACUUAGAAAUGUUACCGUUGAACCUAGGAAAACCUAUAUUCCCUAACUGUUAUUGAACUGUGGUAUUAUCCCCAAAAACCGUUAUAUUGAAGGAUGGCAUACCGUGAUAUGGAAUAGUUAACUAGUAACCCUCCAAAAGUACGACUUAAUGAAUGUGUAAGUAUGCUAUGGAAUAGCAUACUUUGUUUUAUAUCUCAUAAAACCAUUCCAGAAAUGGAUAUUAUGCUUUUGUAAAUAGCAAGUUCAGUCUCAGUUCAUAGUAUAAGAAUUAUACUACGAAAAGACUAUUGUAUGAUCGUUAUGUUCUUCUGAAUAGUACUAUGAAUACACUUUGAAAAGACUGUCUCGUGAUUCACAUAGUAUAUACUUAUUAUACAUAAUCAGAAAAGGACGGACAAUGGAUUGUGUGAUCCUGUCGGACCCCCACAUCCAAACAAGGAAAAGGAAAGCAAAACAGAGUUCACCUAUUCAACUGUCUAUCAGUUUCUCAUUAUACAUAACUUUUGGGUAUAUACUAGGAAAUUAUAGACACUACUACCUAUGUGCGUUUUAUGUUAGCGUGUUGGUGCUAUGCGUGCGUACCCACGUAUGUUUGGUGUCGUGGUACAAAGCUCGCAUACCCAUGUUAAUUGAUGGUACGGUACCGUGCCCAGGUACCCUUUUUAUACGUGUGGUACAUUGGAAGAUGUACCUUCUUGAGUUACUUAAGUUUAGUCCGUAUUAUUGUUCGUAUAUUCUGAAUAGAUAACUAACAAGUAUUAUAUCUCCAUGUACAACUAUGACAUCCAUGAACUACCAAGUGAAACGUAUUGAUCUACCAAGUAAUGAACAUUGACUCUCUAACUAUACUCUAGUAAGUUCUUUAUAUGUAAUUGACUGAACUGAGCUGAAAGAAUACCAUUGCUACCCAAGGUAUUAACUGACUUCUAGAACUUUUAUAUCUACAUACAUAUACAUGAUAUACUAGUAAUUGUAACGACAUAAAUUUCCAAAACAAAAUUUUCAUUUUUCAACAACCAAAUUCAUAUAUAAAAUAUUCUCAAAAUGUAUGCCACAAUAGUUAUCAAAUCAAAACAUAUCCCAAGAACUGAAAUCAAAUCUCCUCGCAGUGUGUACGGGUCACGCCGGCGCCUUCCGACGGUCAACAACUGUAAGCAUAAAUGCUUAGUCAGUUCCCCAAAAUAACCCUUACACACAUACGCCUUUCCAGGCCAUACUCUACACGACCUUCCGGUCCAUGUGUCUCAGAGGACUUCCAUCCCAGUCCCAGUAGACCUUCCGGUCCUACUCGUAUCGACUUUCUGGUCCAUGACUCCCUGACCUUCCGGCCCACGUCAUAAUGCCUUCCGGCCCAUAUCAUACAUAACAUACAUAUCACAUACAUAAUGUAUACAGAACAUGCAACACAUAGCAUAAAAAAUAUGCAUCUCAUAGCAUACAAGACCUUCCGGUCACACAUAGGUACCUUUCCAGGUACAGUAUAGUGAGAAGACUCACAUCGGGUAACUCGGUAACUCGGAAAUCUCGGACUCUGUGAGAUAGGAUCUAGCCUGCGCCUAAUCAUAACAAACACUUCUCAUUAAUACAUUUCCCCAAGGCCAGACUCUUUCCUUUCCUAUCAUUCUCAGAAGGGCAAAAGACCAUUUUACCCCUCUCAAGGCUCAAAUACCCUAAAGUUGACCAAACCCUAAAAGCCAACAAAACUCAACCUUCUGGGGUACGCGGCGCGUACCAGAUCUGUACGCUGAGUGUACCUGGUGGCUUCAUAGAAGCGGGGUACGCGGCCCCUUACGUCGCGCGUACUGGGAUUACGCCCAACGUAACUCCCAACUUUCUCCUCCUUUUCAUUCAGUUCUAAAUCGUUUAAGACUUGCGUCCAAAAUCCAGAUUUGACUUCUCUAAUACGAUUUAAUCCGUAAAGUUGAUGACUUUAAGCCUUUGCAUGGCUGUGGAAGUCACAAACACCCAAAACACUCCAUUUCCAACCUUAAAAGGUCCAUAUCUCAUGCAUGAACAACCUUUAACAACCAAGACUGGAUUUUUAUCACAUAACAACACUAAAUGAGCUAGUAUGGGACAGAUCUCGGCUUUUAAGAGCUCAACUACUCAAAAAGCUAUGAACUUGGGGACCAAAAACCCUAAAACUUCUCUCUACAAAUUAUGAACAAAAAAGAUGCAAAGCUUGAAGCUUUUUACCUCAAAAUGAAACUUCUUUCACUGCUAAAAUCGAAUCCAAAAGCUUGAGCUCCAACUCUUCCUCCUCCAAGGCUAUCACUUUGCUCCAAAUGACUAGGAACACAAUACUAAGCCCUCCUAGACACCCCCUUGCUAUAUUAAUGAGAUUUAGGGUUUUGAAAUGGUAAAGCUCUGGAAAAGGUGGCCAACAAAAGGGUCUUAAGGUUGCUUAAAUAGGGAGGCUCAACAUAUUAGGGUUUCUUUUCUGGGCCGAGUACACCCCGCGUACACAUUGGUACACCCCGAUCAAGACGCGGACGGGUAUGCUGACCGUAUACAGUACGCCUCGCAUACUCGCCAAACAUGCAUUUCCUUAACAAGGGCCCAAUGUGCCCCUUGCUCAAAGAUGAAGGUUCAACGUAUGCCUGAUUUUUGGGAUGUUACAAUUCUCCCCCACUAGAACCCGACUUCGCCCUUGAAGUCUCAAGCUGCGAACAACUCCGGAUGCUGCUCCCGCAUCUCCGACUCCUGCUCCCAGGUCAGCUCGGACCCUUUCUGAUGUUGCCACUGGACCUGCACCAGGGGCACUUCCUUGUUCCUCAGAACCUUGAUCUUCCAAUCCAAGAUUGCGACCGGCUUCUCAACAUAAUUCAGACUCGCGUCCACCUGGAUAUCCUCUAAUGGAACCACUGCCGACUUGUCGGCUAUACACUUCCUCAGCUGCGACACGUGGAAGGUAUCAUGAAUCUGUCCCAACACCUCGGGCAGCUCCAGUCGAUAUGCUACCGUGCCUACUCUCGUGACUACCCUGAAAGGACCAAUAUACCGGGGACCCAACUUGCCCCUCUUCCUGAAUCGGAUCACUCCCUUCCAAGGAGAUUCCUUCUUGAGCACAAAAUCUCCGACUUGGAACUCGAGCUCGGAUCAUCGCCUAUCCGCAUAACUCUUCUGGCGACUCUAAGCGGUCAACAACCUCUGUUUGACCUGCUGUAUCUGCUCUAUCGUCUGAAGCACUAUCUCUGUACUACCCAUCACACGUUUCCCUACCUCACCCCAGCAAAUGGGGGUCCGACACCUCCUCCCAUACAGCAGCUCAAAGGUGGCAUACCAAUGCUCAAAUGAUGGCUGUUGUUAUAGUAAAACUCAUCUAAGGGGAAAUACGUGUCCCAACUCCCACCGAAAUCCAGUACACAUUCCCGAAGCAUGUCCUCGAGCGUCUGAAUCGUCCGCUCGCUCUGUCCGUCAGUCUACGGUACUAAAAUGCAGCUUCGUACCCAAUUCCUCAUGAAAUUUCUUCCAAAAUAUGGAAGUGAAAAUCACAUCUCGAUCUGAGACAAUCGAGAUCGGUACUCCAUGUCGCGAUACCACCUCCCUCACGUACAACUCUACCAGCCUCUCCGCAAAAGAGCCAUCACUGAUGGCAAAGAAGUGAGCGCUCUUCGUCAACCUGUCCACAAUCACCGAAAUUGCAUCGACACCCCUAGCAGUCCUCGGCAAUUUGGUGAUAAAAUCCAUGGUAAUUUGUUCCCACUUCCACUCGAGAAUCUCUAACAGCUGCAACUUACCAUGCGGACGCUAGUGCUCGGUCUUAACCUUGCGACAGGUCAAGCACCUCUCUACGAACCAUGCGACAUCCCUCUUCAUACAAGGCCACCAAUACUCCAUCUUCAGGUCCAAAUACAUCUUAGUGGCCUCGAUCACUCGCUCCCUUUUGUGGUUCUCCGGUUUCACGGCCUUCGCCUGCGCCCCUCGAAUGACAUCCCACACCAAAGUUAUCACUGUCAAUCUCAUGCAAACAUUUCGCAUCGGGGCGCCAUCCGCCCUACGGCUCAGGGCAUCGGCUACAACAUUAGCCUUGCUCGGGUGGUAUAGGAUCUCGAUGUCAUAAUCCUUUACCACAUCCAACCAUCUCCUCUGGCCCAUAUUUGGGUUGGGCUGGUCCAUCAGAUACUUCAAGCUCUUGCGGUCCAUGUAUAUGGUACACCGAACCCCAUACAAAUAGUGACGCCAGAUCUUGAGGGCGAACACCAUUGCCCCCAACUCCAUAUCGUGGGUGGGAUACCUCGACAAAUGAGGUUUCAGCUGCCUCGAUGCAUAUGCUAACACAUGCCCCCUCUGCAUAAGCACCGCUCCUAACCCUGAUAUCGAUGCAUCACAGUACACCACAAAAUCCUCCAUCCCUUUCGGGAGUGCGAGUACCGGAGCCUCGCACAAUUUCUGACGAGAUGUCUCAAAUGAGGUAUGCUGCUCUGGACCCCAUGAGAAAACAACACCCUUCCGGGUCAACUUGGUGAGUGGCACGACGAUCUUAGAGAAAUCCCUGAUAAAUCUCUAAUAAUAGCCAACCAACCCUAGGAAACUCCUGAUCUCGGUAGUUGACCUCGACACCUCCCAACUCAUCACCGCCUCGAUCUUGGCCAGAUCGACCAAUAUCCCCUUCUGGUUAAUGAGGUGCCCUAGGAAAUGGACCUCCCAUAACCAAAAAUCACACUUGGAGAAUUUGGCGUAAAGCCUCUCCGAUCUCGGAACGCCGAGGAUCUCCCUCAAAUGCUCUUCAUGCUGCUCUCUGGAUCUCGAAUACACCAAGAUAUCAUCGAUGAAUACGAUCACCGAACAAUCCAACAUCCGCCUGCACACCCUGUUCAUGAGAUCCAUGAAUGCUGCUGGUGCAUUGGUGAGCCCGAAAGGCAUCACCACGAACUCGUAAUGCCCGUAACGAGUCCUGAAUGCUGUCUUCUGGAUAUCUACAUCCCGAACCCUCAUCUGGUGAUGUCCCGAUCUCAAGUCUAUCUUGGAGAACCAAGACGCUCCCAGCAACUGAUUCAACAAAUCGUCGAUCCUCGGUAACGGAUAACGGUUCUUGACCGUCAACUUGUUCAACUCCCGGUAAUCAAUGCACAUCCGGUGUGAACCAUCCUUCUUCUUCUUGACAAAAAGGAUCGGCGCUCCCCAAGGUGAGCUACUCGGUCUGAUAAACCCCUUCCCCAGCAACUCCUGAAGCUGCGAGGAUAACUCCUGCAUCUCGGGCGGCGCAAGGCGAUAGGGUGCCUUGGCAAUAGGUGCCGCCCCCGGUACCAANGUCGAUACGAAACUCCACCUGCCUCUCGGGAGGCACACCCGACAACUCCUCGGGGAAAACAUCAAGGAACUCCCGCACAAUCGGUACCUCAUUAAUCGAACUUGGCCUCCCAGCGGCCACUUGCAUGUCCAUCACAUAGGCCACAAAACCCCUACAACUCUGCUGUAAACUCUGCGUCACCCUAGCAGCCGAACAAAAUGUUGACUCAGGACGGGUACCCUCACUAUACACUGUAAGUACUCCUUCACUAGGGUCUCCAAUCGUCACCAACUGAUGCUCGCAGUCUAUAAUAGCUCCAAAUUGGAUCAACCAAUCCAUGUCCACUAUGACACAUACGUCCCCCAUCGCAAUCGGGACUAGAUCGAUCAAGAACCCUACACCGAAGAUCUCAAGUCUACAUCCUCGAAUCACCUCCGUGGCAUACACUGCUCGCUCGUUAGCUAUAAAGCUCGCAGAGGUCGACUCAAAGCCUCUCGACAAAUACUGAUAUGACGACUAAAAGCUAAUGACACAAAAGAUUGACUUGCUCCCGAGUCAAAUAGCACUAAGGUAGGUACAGAAUUCACAAGAAAGGUACCUAUGCAUAACAUAAUAUAAGCAUAAUAUCUCAGACUCAAAUAAAUAGAGAAAAGAAUACGUACUGACCACAACGUCGGGUGCUGCGCGGACCUCCUCCGCUGUCAACAGGAAGGCUCUCCCACGAGCCUUUGGCACCUUGACCUUUGUUGGCCGAACCUUGGUAGCCCUAGCAGCAAGCGCAUAUCCCUAAUGUAGCUGAGGGCACUCGGCCUUCCGAUGGCUAGUCUGGUUGCAAUGAAAGCAAACCAUAAAUACCUUGGGGCAAUCCUUGGCGAUAUGCCCCUGCUUGCCACAUUUGUAGCAAGCACCCAAUCAACAGACCACCUAAUUUCCCUUGCCGCACUUCCCACAAGUGUGGCCCUUCUGGCCUCCAGUCCUCGAAUCAGCGGACUUGGUCCGCUUGGCUGCCGGCUGAGACUGAGUCGGCCACCGAUCCAUCUCCAGGACUCGGCCUCCUUCCUGGCCUGAGUCUCCAACUCAAUCUCCCUCUUCCGGGCAUUUGCCUGGAGCUCAGCAAAUGUCCGGUACAUCAAGUUCGACACGAACUCCCGAAUGUCUCUCCUCAGAACGCCCAAAUACCGGCUCAUACGUGCCUGCUCAGAAGACACUUGCUCAGGGCAAAACAUCGCCCUCUCAUGAAACUUCCUCAUAAUCAUAGUGACUGAAUCAGUACCCUGCUUGAGGGUCAAGAACUCCUGAACCAAUUGUUCCCUCUCCACUGGGGGAACCUACUCAUCUCUAAACAUGGUGGUGAACCUAUCCUAGGUCACCUCUGAAAUCUCAGCAACUAUAAAGCUUGCCGUCACAAACUUCCACCAGUCCUUCGCUCCCAAGCGAAGCUGGUUCAACACGAACCGAACCCUCAGAUGCUCCAGACAUGAACACAUAUAGAUGCAUCCCUCAAUAUCAGCAAUCCAUUUCAUCGUAGCAAUCGGAUCCUGCGUGCCAUCAAACUCAGGUGGCUUCGUGUUGCUGAACACCCGAAACAACAACGAGUCACCUCCCUGAGGCCUGGCAGCAGCCUAAGUCACCGCGGCGUACCGCUCAUCGAAAGUCUCAAUCAGUGUGGUCUUGAUAGACCCAAACAUCUCCGGAAUCUCAGCUCGAAUGGUCGUAACCACCUCCUCAUGAAUCAACCGAUGGAUCUCCUCGUCGCUGACACUGCUGCUCUCAGGUGUGUGCCGUGUACUAACCAUGGUGUCUCUGAAAUACAACAUAAAAUCAUCAGGGACUCGCUUGAGUGUACUUGAACUAGAUAACUCGACCAUACUUGUUCCUUAGUACACAAAGGAUUCUUACUUAGAGUGCACACUGCUCUGGUGUCUUCGGUAAUACGGGUGCUUAUACUACCGUCUACACCGCAUUUGUAUUCACCCUAAGUCCUCCUCCUUGGAUCCUAGAUCACAAGUACUCUAUAUCUCACUGGCAUAGGCUACCCUUUGAUAGACCUCUUAGCAGCCCCUCACUGCUACCUACUUGCUCUCAAGCAUCACAUAGCAGCACAAUCCUUCCUAGGCUAAGGCAUCACAAAAUCAGGCCACUCUAUUCCUAAUAUGAAUACCUAGCCAACUCUAGCAUGCAUAACAUAACAUAUCAUAUCUCAUAACACAUAACAUAUAGGUAUUUUGGGAAUUCACCAUUCGAGCACUGGCUGACCAUACACACUGCUCUGCUCUGCUUGUCUCAAAACUCUUUUACACAUUGAAAUUGUGUUAUUAUUAAAAAUAUUUUCCUCAAAUCCUCAGUUUGAGUUUAGAUACGCCCGAAGGUGCAUCCGAAUCCCACAAACCAAGGCUCUAAUACCAACUUGUAACGAUGUAAAUUUUCAAAACAAAAUUUUCAUUUUUCAACAACCAAAUUCAUAUAUAAAAUAUUCUCAAAAAGUAUUCCACAAUAGUUAUUAAAUCAAAACAUAUCCCAAGAUCUCAAAUCAAAUCUCCUCUCAGUCUGUACGGGUCACGCCGGUGCCUUCCCACGGUCCCGACUAGUAUCUGAAACACAUAACACAAUAACUGUAAGCAUAAAUGCUUAGUGAGUUCCCCAAAAUACCCCUUAGACACAUAUGCCUUUCCAGGCCAUACUCUACACGACCUUCCGGUCCAUGUGUCUCAUGGGACUUCCGUCCCAGUCCCAGUAGACCUUCCGGUCCUGCUCGUAUCGACCUUCCGGUCCAUGACUGCCUGACCUUCCGGUCCACCUCAUAAUGCCUUCCGGCCCAUAUCAUACAUAACAUACAUAUCACAUACAUAACACAUACAGAACAUGAAACACAUAGCAUACAAAACAUGCAUCUCAUACCAUACAAGACCUUCCGGUCACACAUAGGUACCUUUCCAGUUAUAGUAUAGUGAGAAGACUCACCUCGGGUAACUCGGUAACUCGGAAAUCUUGGACUCUGUGAGACAGGAUCUAGCCUCUGCCUAAUCAUAACAAACACUUCUCAUUAAUACAUUUCCCCAAGGCCAGAGUCUUUCCUUUCCUAUCAUUCUCAGAAGGGAAAAAGACCAUUUUACCCCUCUCAAGGCUCAAAUACCCUAAAGUUGACCAAACCCUAAAAGUCAACAAAACUCAACCUUUUGGGGUACGCGGCGCGUCCCAGAUCUGUACGCUGAGCGUACCCAGUGGCUUCACAGAAUCAGGGUACGCGGCCCCUUACGCCGCGCGUACUGGGAUUAUGCCCAACGUAACUCCCAACUUUCUCCUCCUUUUCAUUCAGUUCUAAAUCGUUUAAGACUUGCGUCGAAAAUCCAGAUUUGACUUCUCUAAUAUGAUUUAAUCCGUAAAGUUGAUGACUUUAAGCCUUUGCAUGGCUGUGGAAGUCACAAACACCCAAAACACUCCAUUUCCAACCUUAAAAGGUCCAUAUCUCAUGAAUGAACAACCUUUAACAACAAAGACUGGAUUUUUAUCACAUAAAAACACUAAAUGAACUAGUAUGGGACAGAUCUCGGCUUCUAAGAGCUCAACUACUUAAAAAGCUAUGAACUUGGGGACCAAAAACCCUAAAACUUCUCUCUACAAAUUAUUAACAGAAAAGAUGCAAAGGUUGAAGCUUUUUACCUAAAAAUGAAACUUCUUUCACUGCUAAACUCGGAUCCAAAAGCUUGAGCUCCAACUCUUCCUCUUCCAAGGCUAUCACUUUGCUCCAAAUGGCCAAGAACACAAUACUAAGCUCUCCUAGACACCCCCUUGCUAUAUGAGCGAGAUUUAGGGUUUUGAAAUGGUAAAACUCUGGAAAAGGUGGCCAACAAAAUGGCCUUAAGGUUGCUUAACUAGGGAGGCUCAACAUAUUAGGGUUUCUCUUCUCGGCCGGGUACGCCUCGCGUACACAUUGGUACGCCCCGCGUACCUGGCGACCCUUCCCGAUCAAGACGCUGACGGGUAUGCUGAGCGUACACCCCGGUACGUCCCGCGUACUCGCCAAACAUGCAUUUCCUUAACAAGGGCCAAAUGUGCCCCUUGCUCAAAGAUGAAGGUUCAUAAGGUAUACCUGAUUUUUGGGAUGUUACAGUAAUAUUUAAACGACAUUCGGACAAAAAACCUUACUCCAAACCCACAUCUAAACAAUGAAAAUGGAUUACGGCUGGUAGUGAGUCCUAAGUCCUUUAAACACUUCCUGUAUAACUAUAUCUAUAUAGACAUCAAUUUUACAACAUAAGUUAAAAGGUUUUAUAAAACAUUUAAAAGCAUUUUCUAAUAUUAAAGGAGUUAAAAACCAUUUAAAAGUAUUUUCCAAUAUUUAAAAGCAUUUUGAUGACUUGAUGUCAUUUACAACAUUUAAAGAGUAUUAUAUAUUAUAAACACAAUUUGUUGUGUUUAGACUUGUAUUCCCCCCUUAAAACAGUGAAAAGUGACAAAAUGUAGGGGUAUGAACUUACCUUAUGUUUGGUGAUCCAAAUGGUUCAAGUAAGGAUUGAGCAGUUCCACAAUUGAAGUCCCGAUAUACAAAUGAGUCCUAAUGACAUAUAUUGAUACAUAUAUGUGUAUAAUUAGUGUAUAAUACACCUAAUCAUGAAGGAAACAACCUAAGGGACUAAGGAUCUUGGACAUGAAGAGAUCAAUCACAUGUGAUUGAUAAAAGGGAAGUAUGUGGCCACACUUAAGUGUGGUUACGGCCAACACACAUGAGUUUACGGCCAAACAAGGAGUUUAUGGUCGUAAACUCAUGGACAUAAUGCUUAAGUGAGUGUUUUAUGGUCCUAGCAACAUCCAUUAAGAGUUUAAGGUCAAUGGCAUUUUUGUUGGAAGAGUUUAAGGCCCAAAAUGCAACAACCAUGGAGUUUACGGCGAAGGAUGUUCUUGGGCCGUAAACUCAAGAUCUUCUUUGGAAAUACAUGUUUCUAUGGAUGAAAUUCAAGGCUUCCUAGUAGAUAUGAAGUAUCUACUAGUAUGUGUUCUUGGUGUUUCUUGAAGAUCUAAACAAACAUGAUUUUCAUGGAUGAAAUCAAUGAUUGAAGCUAGUUAAUAAGGUGUAUCAACUAAUCAAGGGAUAGAAUACUUACACUUUUGAUGAUCUAAGGAUGGAAGAUUGGAUGAUAGUUGAGAGAGAAUGAGGGAAAAUCGACCAAGGAAGGAAAGAAAUGAUAAAAAUGGCCAGACUUGCAUAUAAGGGGUGAGUUUAUGGCCCACAUGGAUUUUAUGGCCGUAAACUCCAUUGUGGUGGUCGUGAACUCCUGAUUUUUGUGUUGGAGGCUCGAGUAUUGUUCCGUGGUUCUAGCUGGUACGUCUUAGCAUUCAUUUCUUGAAUGUAUUGGGUUCAGAACACUCAAAUAGGCACUAAACAAUGCCAAAUGUUAGCAGGAGUGAGCUGACUUAAGGUUGUUUGGACUGGAUUUUAAAGCAAAAAAUUUUCAGGUUGUCAUAACCCUGGGGAGCACCGAUCCUUUUUGUCAGGAAGAAGGACGGUUCGAACAGGAUGCGCAUUGGCUAUAGGGAGCUGAACAAGUUAACAAUGAAGAACCGUUAUCUGCUCCCAAGGAUAGACCAUCUUUUCGAUUAGUUGCUGGCUGCAUCUUGGUUUUCCAAGAUUGAUUUAAGAUCAGGAUACCACCAGGUCAGGGUGAGGGAGGAAGAUGUGGAGAAGACCGCGUUUCGGACUCGCUAUGGUCAUUACGAGUUCGUGGUGAUACCGUUUGGGCUCACCAAUGCGCCAGCAGUUUUCAUGGAUUUGAUGAAUCGAGUCUACAGACCGAUGCUUGAUCGCUCGGUCAUUGUGUUCAUAGAUGAUAUCUUGGUGUAUUCCAAGACCCGAGAGCAGCAUGAGGAGCAUCUCAAGGAGCUUCUGGAGGUGAUAGUCUAGGUUAACCUUUGUAACUCAUUUUGAAGAAAUGAAAAAGAAUUAUGUGAAUAUUAUGUGAAUUAUGUGUUUUAUGCUUAAUUAUUAGGGCUUAAUUAAUUAAGAAUAAAAAUAAAGCGUCAAAAUUAAAGUGUGACAUAAUCCCGAUAUAUUUUCAUAAGUUGUAGUGGUCGAAACAAGGAUUUUGGGGUUAUAAAGAAUACAAAAAUCCGAGUUAUAACGAAGAAGUUAUGACCUGUCGAAGUUUCGUGACAAAACCGGCACGACGCUGAAUGUCGUAAAAAGUGAGUUUUUGAUAAACUAAAUUUUAGCCUUAGUGAUCUAAACGAAACUUGUAGUGUUCGUUAAACCAAUAGUAGGUAUAAAAAGAACGUCCAAAUCUGACUUCGUAUGAGGAAGUUAUGAUUUUUCGAAGUUUCAGCUUACUAGUAGACAGCUAAAAACUCGAACUUUAGAUCGAGUGAUUUUUAGCCGACACGACCUAAAUGAGAAUCGAAGGUCUCGUAAAUAGUAGCACAACGGUAAAAAGUCUGACGAAAACGGACGUCGGAUGAAGAAGUUAUGAAUUUUUAAAGGAUUUCCUGUCAAGGUCUGUUAAAAAUAAUAAUAUUAAAAUAAAAUUCAAAAUUAGACGACAAAGUCUAAACGAAAGUUGAAGAGCGUAAUUUUACCUACGCGUGCAUAUAAAGAACGUCGAAAACGGAGGCGGUAUGCGAAAGUUAUGGAUUUUAGAAGAUUAGUGCUCAUUUUCCGAGGAAUCUCGCAUGGAUGAUCCUUAUCCGGAAGAGCCACGUCACCUCGCAUGAACAGUAGCCGCGUGUCGCGCAACUGUCGCCUUCUAAUUCGCCCGAGCAGUGGCCCAAUCCCCGUCCGACGUGCUGAUGUCUCCGUGUCCUUCCGAGCCAUGCUGGCCCCUCGCAUGCGAAGCCAUCCGGAGCCUCUCGCUGCUACCACGCGCCUUGCUCUUGUUGCUGCCACCGAGUUGCUUCGUUGCUGACUCACUUCCUUCUCGGCCGACCUUCAGACCCUAUAAAAGGGAGGCUGCGAGACUUCCCGGGUAGAAUCCGAAAUUUGCCACUUUUCACCCAUUUUCAUCCUUUUUAUCAUUUUGACUUCCCCCGAAGCUCCGGUAUCAUUUCUAAAGCCCGAAAUACGUUCCGAAGUUCCCGAAGACCCGGAAAAAUUUUUCUUUUCGGUUUUGAAGCCCGACCUUUCGUAGAGCCCGGUUUCUCAAUAAAACUCCCGGUUUUAUUAGAAACGAUCGUUUUAGGAAACGAAUUGCUGCCCGAUUUUCAUCAAAACAUGUGAGUGUGUACUUACUUUCAAUUUACACAUAGAUAUGAAGUAUUUACCAUAAAAUACGUGUUAUGUGCAAAUAUGUUUAAUUGUUUAUUUGAGGUGAUUGUUGAAUUGACGUUUUAUACAAGUUUUAAACUGUAUAUGUAUUUUAUCUACAAAUAUGUUGCGUAGAACAUGGGUAGACAAAAUAGUCGGUGGGUGUUAAAAUGAUGAGAGGCCUCGAUGUCAGUGUUGUUGUUGUUAUUGGUGACGUCGUCUAACGGAGUAUAGAUGACGACCACAAACCUUUCUAGACAGUCCAGUGGUACACUAGCAGGUUCGCAACUUGUAGGUGUUGAUGAACUAAAUGUUCAUUGGUGUACUCCAUCCCCUACAUGGUUUCCUUAAGGACAUUUAUUGUUGAGGAAUCCCCUUAGCAGUAGUGUCCAUCCCGAUGAUGAUCCUUAGGAUAGGUCCCUUAUGAUAGGUGUUUAGGGACGUAAUAUGAGGAUAACGGGAACGGGUAAUCGGGUUAUUGUUGGUUGAUGAAAUUAAUAAACUAUUUAUUGUGAGUUGAAAACUCUAUGUGCUCACCAGGCUCCCAAGCCUGACCCACUCAGUUUUAUGUAUUACAGGUAGUGGUGCUCGAGCAUAGUUGUGAUGUAUUGAGAUGAGGGAUUACGGAUAUAGAACUAUAGAUAUGAAAUAAUGUAGUAAGGCUUAUAUUGUAUUGUUUAUACUUAUGUACUGUAUCGAACAUGACAUCCCGAGUCUUUUAAUGAAAUACAUUUCUAAGGAAAUGCUUUUGAUAAAUCUUUAUCAUAUUAUUGUUUUAGGACAAACUCCGCAAGUCUUUUAUUAAAAGGUUACUAUGAUUAUGAAAUAAAGUAUAAACAAAACCGGUCUUUUCUGGCCGUGAAUUUGGGGAUGUCACAGAUUCAUUCGUGAUUUCGCCAAGAUUGUCGUACCCCUCACUCGUCUAAUGAGGAAGGGGGUGGAUUUCCGGUGGGGACCUGAGCAGCAGAGGGCAUUUGAGUCCCUUCGGCGAUGUUUAUGCGAGGCAUCGUGUUGACACUCCCCGAAGGAGUUGAGGAUUUUGUGUAUAUUGUGACGAGAUACCCUAUGCACGAUNCGAGCACUAGUUUAUUUUAGGAAAGGUGCCUAAAAUGCCUUUAUGUGCUAAAUGCUAUAUGUUGCCAUAUAUGCCAUUAUUUGUUCGGAUCUAUGGUCUACUGCCGACCGAAUCUUGAAACCUUAUAUGUAUAGGAUUCUAAGCGUAUGAUUACGAGAUUAGAACUAACAUGUAAAUGUUUCGGCGUGAUAAGGGAAUUGACAUGUCUAACAAGGAUAAAGACCUAAAUUCACCCUAUUCGGUAUAUAGAUUGUAAUGGAAAGAACUCGAAGUGGAGCGGGAAAUGCAAAUAGAAACCAACAACCUCAACCCCAAGUGGUGGAACAGGUGCCUAUAGUAGGAGCUGCACCAGAACCCAUCACCAUGGAUGGAGUACAAAAUAUGGUUCAGACCAUGUUGGCUGAUCAGAGGGAGGAGUUGAGGCAAAUGUUGUUGAACAACAGGGAUGAAUCUUCAGUUCCUAUUGAAGAACACGAACUGAAUGAUGAUCGAUCUGAAGAAGGGAACAACAGCAGAUCGGUUGGUUAUAGUGAACGACUUGUGGUUGGGAGGAAUAACCACGAGGGCGGAGUGGAUAGAAAUGGGUGCAAGUAUAAGGACUUUAUGAAUUGCAAGCCAUCGACCUUCACUGGAAAAGAAGAUCCUGUUGGAGUUAUGGACUGGAUCUCGGAAAUGGAGUUGGCUUUCAUGACUUGUGAUUGCCAAGGCAAGUUACAAACCACUUUUACAUUGUGUCAGUUCAGAGGUAGUCUUCCUCGUUGGUAGAACACAUUGGGGAAAACCCUAAGCCCUAAUGAGCCAUUGCAAAUGACUUGGGCAGAGUUCUUGGUGCACUUUCAGUGCAAGUACUGCUCGGCCCAAAAUGUACUUGAGUUAGAAAACCAAUUUCUAACGUUGCAAAAGGGGAGUAUGACCGUUCACGAGUAUACGAAUAGCUUCACAGACAAAAUGGAGUUUGCUUUGCGUAUUGUCCCAGAUGAGCUGGCGAAAAUUGACAGGUACACAAAGGGACUUCCAUGGAAGUAUGUGGUGCCAGUACGUCAGGCACUUUCUUUGGAGGCGGUUAUCUGGGCUGCCAAGUCUGUUGAAGAUAUGACAAGGGGAGAGCCGCCAUCAAGGUUGAAGUUGGCGAAAAGCGAAAGUUUGAAUGAAUAUCAGGUUCCAAUAAAAAAACAAAUUCUCAUAGUCUGGUUCGAGAAAAUUCGGAGGACUAGCUGAAGCCAAAUGGUGUGACAGGUGCAAGAAGAAACAUGUUGGGAAGUGCAGCGUGGAACUCACUUGUUACAAGUAUGGAAAACGAUGGCAUUAUGCCAAUAAUUGCACCUUCACUAAUAGCGUCUGUCAUGGGUGCCAUGAAGAAGGGCAUAUUUUGAGGGAUUGCCCAAAGAAGAAAGACGCAGCGAAACCCAAUCUUCCACCAAAGCUGAAGGCGAGAGCCUUUCAGAUGACACUCGAAGCUGCGAAAGAAGAAGUCGAUGUCGCUUCAGGUACCUUUCUCAUAAACUAAUUGCCUGCCCAAAUUUUGUUUGAUUCUAGAGCCAAUUACUCCUUUAUAUCGCAUGAAUUUGGUAGAAAACUAGCUUUGCCUGUUGAUAGACUAGUUAAUGCUUUAUUAGUCGAAAUUGCUAGUGGCAAGUUUGUACCUGUUAGCCAUCGUAUGAAAAACAUCAUCAUUGACUUGGAUGGAGAUAAGUUCCUUGAGGAAUUAUUGCCUAUCGAGUUAAAUGGUUUUGACAUAGUUUUAGGUAUGGAUUGGCUUAGCGCCAAUGAUGCCGAAAUAAUGUGUAGGAAGAAGAUAGUAAAAGUAAACCUGCCAGGGAAAGAGUCAUUUAUGGUGUACGGAGACAAACGCAAAGUAUACUAUGGAAUCAUUCCCUAAUGAAAGCCAUAAAGUGUUUGGCCAAGGGAUGUACAUCAUAUCUAGCGUUCGUGAUCGAUGCUAAGAAGGAGAAGAAGGAGGUGCAGGAUAUUCCGGUGAUGUGUGAUUAUCCAAAAGUCUUUCCCGAAGAUCUUCCCGGAUUACCCCCUGAUCGACAAGUAGAAUUUCGUAUCGACUUGUUACCAGGAACGAUGCCAAUAGCAAAAGCACCGUAUCGAUUAGCGCCAACCGAAAUGAAAGAACUUAUGAAACAACUUUAGGAGUUAUCGGACAAAGGUUUCAUUCGACCUAGUUCAUCACCCUGGGGAGCCCCUGUGUUAUUUGUAAUGAAGAAUGACGGUAGCAUGAGACUAUGCAUCGACUACAGAGCUGAAUAAAGCGACGAUAAAGAACAAGUACCCGUUGCCGAGGAUCGAUGACCUGUUCAAUCAGUUGCAAGGAUCGAACUAUUUUUCGAAGAUCGAUCUUAGGUCGGGGUACCAUCAACUAAAGGUGAGGGAGCAUGAUAUCGAGAAGACUGUGUUCAGAACAAGAUAUGGACACUAUGAAUUUGUGGUUAUGUCGUUCGGAUUAACCAAUGCCCCAGCAGCUUUCAUGGAUUUGAUGAGCAGGGUUUGUAAACCAUACCUUGAUAAAUCCAUGAUAGUAUUCAUAGAAGAUAUCUUGAUCUAUUCGAAAAGCAAGCAGGAGCAUGAGAAGCAUCUGUGUGAAGUGCUAGAAGUCCUGAAGAAGGAGAAGCUAUAUGCAAAAUUCUCCAAAUGUGAAUUUUGGAUUCAAGAAGUCCAAUUUUUAGGGCAUGUGGUUAACUAAGAUGGAAUAAUGGUUGACCCAACAAAGAUUGAAGCUGUGAUGAAGUGGGAACAACCAAAAAUUCCUACGGAGAUUAGACGCUUUUUAGGAUUAGCUGGAUAUUAUCGAAGAUUUAUCCAAGGCUUUUCUUCAAUCGCUACUCCAUUAACAGCUUUGACCCACAAAUGAGCUACUUAUGCUUGGAAAGAAAAGAAUAAGGAGGCCUUUGAAAAGUUAAAGAAGAGAAUGUGUAAAGCAUCGAUUCUUUCGUUACCUGAAGGAGUUGAUGACUUUGCAGUCUAUAGUGAUGCCUCUGGAGUUGGGUUAGGAUGUGUCCAGACCUAAAAGGAUAAAGUGAUAGUGUAUGCAUCGAGGCAGUUGAAAGAGCAUGAAAAGAACUACCCAACUCGUGAUCUAGAGUUGGCAGCGGUAGUAUUUGCCUUACAGAUAUGGAGGCAUUAUCUUUAUGGUACUAAGUGUAAACUUUUCACUGAUCAUAAGAGUCUUCAAUAUCUCUUUAAUCAGAAGGAAUUGAACAUGAGGCAACGGCACUGGCUGGAAUUACUCAAAGACUACGACUGUGAGAUACUUUACCACCCUAGUAAAGCAAAUGUUGUUGUUGAUGCUCUCAGUCGGAAGGUAAAUCCUGAAAAGAGAAGGCCAAGAGCGCUGAAGAUUGAAGUUGUCUCUACAAUUGUGGAAAGUAUAAUGAAAGCUCGGGAGGAAGAUUUGGAGAAAAAUGACUGGAAGGAGGAAAGUUUGGGUAAAACGUUGGUGUUUGAUACAAACGGUCAAGGAUUGUGUGACAACCCGAAGUUCAUUCCAUUUGUAACCCUUUUCGUUAAUACAUUCGUCGUUUUCAAUUUCGUUUUCGUUAACGUCAUUAAAUUAAGUCAUAAAUGUGGGAUUUCUAUUAUGACUUAAUGGUUGUCCUAACGCGUUUAGAACUCAUAUUAACAUCCCAUUCUAGUAAUAAGAAUAUUUUUAGAAUCGACCGUAUCGGGUUAUGACAACUUAAUCGGGUACGACCAAAAGCCACGUCUAACGUCAGUAUCGGGUAGAAUUCCAUCGUGUCCCGAACUUGGAACAUAUUUAAAGUGGAUUAAGCUUCCAUUUGAUGCUUUUGCACUCCCUCACUACUAUCUCUCUCUCUAACCUCUCUCCUCAAUCCAAACUUAAGGUCCAAAAUCAUCAAAUUAAAGCUCCAUUUCAUCAAGGUAACCUUCCUAACUUGUUGUACAACCUUUCUAGCUUCCAAAUUCAUGGCCAAACUAUGGAAUAGGACCAUUAUCAUGAGUUUACAGCCCUAGAACAGUCCUAGGCCGUGAACUCAUAUAAAAUGGGUUUUGGAGCCCAAAAACCCUUCCAAUCGACCUUUGGAACUUAGAUAUGGCUAGAUGACUUAAUGGAACGGACUUAGAGCGCCUUAAACUUAACUUUUGGGGAGUAAGCUUGAGUUUACUGCCCAAGAACAUGCUUGGGCCGUAAACUCAUCUUCAUUGGGAGCAAUAGCUUGGGAUUAAAUUCUAGAACCAACCACAAUGGAGUUAGGGGCCUUAAACAUGAUGAAAACCCUCCCUAUAGGAGUUCACAGCCAUAAACCCUCCAAGAAUGGGUUCCUGGGCCGUAAACUCAUAUACACUAGUCAAAUGAUGCCCUAAAUCAAUUUUAAUGCAUGUAAAAUUUGUUUAAAUCACAUAUGAUUGUUCUAAGGCCACCAAAUCAUUAACAUAAGAAAGGUAUAGGAGCUUACGGUCGUAAACUCCUAGUUUAGGGCCGUAAACUCCCUUUGAUGGUUCCUUUGGUGAUUUAACGCAUUCCUAUGCCUUAGAUUAAAUCAUAGCAACCUUCCCCAAGUGUUAUUUGACCAUUUAGCUUCAUAAAACCCUGAACUCAUGAGGAGUUGGUCUAGGGGCCCAAAACUCCAUGAGGAGUUUACUCUUGAAGAGUAAACACAUUAUCCAAAGUCCCAUACGUCCGUAGAUGUCACUCGGGUCACUCCAAACACUUGAUUUGAAGUGUUUUCGCGUCUUGAAGUGUAUAACCAUAUCUAAUUAGAUACCUUUGUAUAUCAUUUCAUAUUACAUAGGAACCUCACGCGUUAUCAAGCCCCGAACCGACACUUAGCAUACAAACCGUUACGUUUUCUCGCCUGGUGAGUUCAUACCCCUACCGUUUUUCAAUGUUUUUCACUGUUUUCAGGGGGAGAAUACAAGCGAAUUACAAGGAACACUUGUACUCAAAAACUUGUUUUACAUCUGUUGUGUUUCAUAUUUCAUAUGCUUUUAACGUUGACAAUCAUAACAGAUAACCGUUUGAACUUGCAGAACACAUUACCAUAUUUUUUGUGAAAAACGUUAUAAAAUGUUACAUUUUAUAUUUUUACAAAUCGUUUUCCACAUUAUAUCAGUUAAAAGCAUAACAUUUGAUCUUUGAACAUGAAACUUAGUACACUGUUUUGUCCUCGGUAAGACUCCACAUGAACACGCGAGUGGAGGAUCAUGGUUUGUGACAGUAUCUUUCUAUAUUAUUACUAGUAAAUUUGUUAUUCCUAUAAAUUGGAGACACGUCCUCGGAGAACACUCCACAGAGAUACGCGAGUGGAGGACCGCACCUGUAACCAGAAUCUCUUAGAUAGGGAGCGUGACUUGAGUGUACAGAUCUAUACAGAGUUGACUACCCUGCACCUGGCUGCUAGCUACAGCCGAACCGAAAGGUUCAAGGGUGACGAAAGUCAAAAAGGGAUUUGGACGACUUAUUGCCUUAUCUAGUCUAUCGUAUGGUUAUGGAACUCGCAAUUUGAAUAACAGAGAUUUACUUGAUAGUAAUAAUGAUUAAAGUAACUAGUUUACUUGUACAUAUUAGUUUUAUAUAUACGUGUUAAAAUUAAUACACUUUACAAGGAUAACCAGGUUUUCGGUAUACAUCUUUCACAUUACAGAUUGUUAACCAACUUUCAAGAAAAUAUGGGAUUUUUCUGGGGUAACAUUUUUACAUAACCAGAUUUGUGUAACAAGCCAAAUAGCUAAAUCUUACUAUUCACAAGAGUAACCAUAUUUUCAGUGUACAUCUUUUACAUUACACUUCGGAUUAAUAACUAACUUUUAAGAAAAUAUGGGAUUUUCUUGGUGUAUAACUUUUUCAGAAAAUAGAAAGGAAACAAAUACAUUUUCAGAAAACAAAACCGCUUAUGAACUCAUCAGCUUUAUGCUAAUUUUUAAAAUGCUUGUAUUCUCAGGUCAAUAUUAGACAGGUACCCGAGGAUCCUUUUGACGAAGACGAAGUGCGUAGAAGACACGUCUUACUUUUUUCUAUAUAUAUAUAUAUAUAUACAUAUGUAUCACACUUGUAAUACUUUUUACUUUAAAACAAAUGUAAAUUCUAUUAUGUAAUGUAAUGUUUGUUUACCUUGCUUACUAUGUACAUUGGAUUUGAUACUCAACGUGGAGUCCACCCCAGAAACGUUUCCGCCUUGGGUUUCGGGGUGUGACAUAUUGAAGGUAUUCAAAGAUAGGAUUUGGGUACCUAAUACGGGAGGAGUAAGAGGUCUUCUGAUGGAAGAAGCUCACAAAACCAUGUACUUGAUUCAUCCCGGCAGUACGAAAAUGUAUAGGGAUCUAAAACCCUAUUACUGGUGGCCGACAAUGAAGCUCGAUGUUGCUAAGUAUGCGGUGGAGUGUGUAACUUGUGCUAGUGUUAAGGCACAACAUCAGAAAUCGUAUGGGAGUUUAGAACCUUUACCUAUACCCAUGGGUAAAUGGGAGGACAUUACCAUGGAUUUUGUGACUAAACUGCCCAAGACAAGGAACGGUCACGACAUGAUCGGGAUGGUCGUUGAUCGCUUCACUAAGAGUGCACAUUUCAUAGCCGCUAACGAGAAAUGGUCUAUGGAUAAACUUGUGAAUUCUUAUGUGAAGGAAAUUUUGAGGCUACAUGGUGUUCCGCUAACGAUUGUAUCCGAUCGUGACAGCCGUUUUAACUCAAGGUUUUGGAGGAGUCUACAAGAGGAAUUGGGUACUAAGUUGUGUUUGAGUACAGCUUACCAUCCGCAAACCGAUGGUCAGAGCGAACGAACGAUUCAAACAUUGGAGGAUAUGCUGAGAACAUGUACCCUAGAAUUCCAAGGUAACUGGGAUGAACACUUACCUCUAGUAGAAUUCUCCUAUAAUAAUAGUUUCCACUCAAGCAUUAAGACGGCACCUUAUCACGCUUUGUAUGGGGAAAAGUGUCGAACGCCAUCAUGUUAGCUGGAAGUUGGGGAAAAGCAGUUUAUGGGACCUGAAAUAAUCCAUGAGACUGCUGAAAAGUUGAAAGUGAUAAGGGAAAGGAUGUUAGCUGCUCAAGAUCGACAAAAGAGUUAUGCUGACAAGAAAAGGCAACCGAUAACCUCUGAAGUUGGAUAUUCGGUUUUACUUAAAGUCUUGCCGUGGAAGGGACUUAUAAGAUUUGGGAAACGAGGAAAGUUGAGUCUAAGGUUUAUUGGACCGCUCAAAGUUCUUCAGAAGAUCGGGAAUCAAGCUUACAAGCUAGAGUUACCGGAGAACUGGAGGGUAUUCACAACACCUUUAAUGUGUGUUAUUUGAGAAAGUUCACGGGAGAUGUGCCCGACUUAAUUCCGAUUCCUGAGUUAAGGUUGGAUGAAAAUAAGAAGUUGAUCGAAGAACCCGAGGCAAUCGUUGACCGUAAGACUAUGAAGUUGCGACGCAAGAUGGUCAAUUUAGUGCUUGUGCGUUGGAAACAUACGAAUGGACGAAAUCUCACUUGGGAAACGAAGAGUGACAUGAUGAGUCGUUACCUGCAGUUGUUUGGUGAUAUGUGAUUCUGGGGACGGAAUCAUCCUAAGGGGGAGAGAAUUGUAACACUCGUGUUUCUAGCCUAGGCAUUUAUACUGAGGUGAUAGUCUAGGUUAACCUUUGUAACUCAUUUUGAAGAAAUGAAAAAGAAUUAUGUGAAUAUUAUGUGAAUUAUGUGUUUUAUGCUUAAUUAUUAGGGCUUAAUUAAUUAAGAAUAAAAAUAAAGCAUCAAAAUUAAAGUGUGAGAUAAGCCCGAUAUCUUUACAUAAAGUUGUAGCGGACGAAACAAGGAUUUUGGGGAUAUAAAGAAUACCAAAAUCCGAGUUAUAACGAAGAAGUUAUGACUUGUCGAAGUUUCGCGACAAAACCGGCACGACAUUGAAUGUUGUAAAAAGUGAGUUUUUGAUAAACUACUUUUUAGCCCUACUGAUGUAAAAAAACUUGUAGUGUUCGUUAAAGCGAUAGUAGGUAUAAAAAGAACGUCCAAAUCUGACUUCGUAUGAAGAAGUUAUGAUUUUUCUAAGUUUCAGCUUUGCAGUAGAUAGCUAAAAACUCGAAUUUUAGAUCGAGUGAUCUUUAGCCGACACAACCUAAACAAGAAUCGAAGGUCUCGUAAAUAGUAGCACAACGGUAAAAAGUCUGAUGAAAACGGACGUCGGAUGAAAAAGUUAUGAUUUUUUAACGGAUCUCCUGUCCCGGUCUGUUAAAAAUAAUAAUAUUAAAAUAAAAUUCAAAAUUAGACGACGAAGUCUAAACGAAAGUUGUAGAGCAUAAUUUUACCUACGCGUGCAUAUAAAGAACGUCGAAAAAGUUAUGAUUUUUUAACACGUAUUUUAGAAGAUUAGGGCUCAUUUUCCGAGGAAUCUCGCAUGGAUAAGCCUUAUCCGGAAGAGCCACGUCACCUCGCAUGAACAGUUGUCGCGUUUCUCGCACCAGUCGCCUUUUGAUUCGUCCGAGCAGCGGCCCAAUCCCCAUCCGAUGUGCGGUUGUCUCCGUGUCCUUCCGAGCCUUGCUGACCCCUCACAUGCGAAACCACCCGUAGCCGCUCGCUGCUGCCACCGAGCUGCUUCGUUGCUGACUCACUUCCUUCUCGGCCGACCUUCGGACCCUAUAAAAGGGAGGCUGCGAGACUUCCAGGGUAGAAUCCGAAAUUUGCCACUUUUCACCCAUUUUUCAUCCUCUUUAUCAUUUUGACUUCCCCCGAAGCCCCGGUAUCAUUUCUAAAGCCAGAAAUACGUUCCGAAGUUCCCGAAGACCCGGAAAAAUUUAUCUUUUCGGUUUUGAAGCCCGACCUGUCGCAGAGCCCGAUUUCUCAAUAAAACUCCCGGUUUUAUUAGAAACGAUCGUUUUAGGAAACGAAUUGCUGCCCGAUUUUCAUCAAAACAUGUGAGUGUGUACUUACUUUCAAUUUACACAUAGAUAUGAAGUAUUUACCAUAAAAUACGUGUUAUGUGUAAAUAUGUUUAAUUGUUUAUUUGAGGUGACUGUUGAAUUGAUGUUUUAUACAAGUUUUAAACUGUAUAUGUAUUUUAUCUACAAAUAUGUUAGGUAGAACAUGGGUAGACAAAAUAGUCGGUGGGUGUUAAAAUGAUGAGAGGCCUCGGUGUCAGUGUUGUUGUUGUUAUUGAUGAAGUCGUCUAACGGAGUAUAGAUGACGACCACAGACCUUUCUAGACCGUCUAGUGGUACACUAGCAGGUUCACAACUUGUAGGUGUUGAUGAACUAAAUGUUCAUUGGUGUACUCCAUCCCCCACAUGGUUUCCUUAGGGACAUUUAUUGCUGAGGAAUUCCCUUAGCAGUAGUGUCCAUCCCGAUGAUGAUCCUUAGGAUAGUUCCCUUGUGAUAGGUGUUUAGGGACGUAGUGUGAGGAUAACGGGAACGGGUAAUCGGGUUAUUGUUGGUUAGUGAAAUUAAUAAACUAUUUAUUGUGAGUUGAAAACUCUAUGUGCUCACCAGGCUCCCAAGCCUGACCCACUCAGUUUUAUGUAUUAUAGGUAGUGGUGCUCGAGCAUAGUUGUGAUGUAUUGAGAUGAGGGAUUAAGGAUAUAGGCAUGUAGAUAUGAAAUAAUGUAGUAAGGCUUAUAUUCUAUUGUUUAUACAUAUGUACUGUAUCGAACAUGACAUCCCGAGUCUUUUAAUGAAAUACAUUUCUAAGGAAAUGCUUUUGAUAAAUCUUUAUCAUAUUAUUGUUUUGGGACAAACUCCGCAACUCUUUUAUUAAAAGGUUACUCUGAUUAUGAAAUAAAGUAUAAACAAAACCGGUCUUUUCUGGCCGUGAAUUUGGGGAUGUCACAGAUUCAUUCGUGAUUUCGCCAAGAUUGUCGUACCCCUCACUCGUCUAAUGAGGAAGGGGGUGGAUUUCCGGUGGGGACCUGAGCAGCAGAGGGCAUUUGAGUCCCUUCGGCGAUGUUUAUGCGAGGCAUCGUGUUGACACUCCCCGAAGGAGUUGAGGAUUUUGUGUAUAUUGUGACGAGAUACCCUAUGCACGAUCUUGAAGGCGUGUGGUAGCCUAUGCAUCACGGCAGCUGAAGCCGCAUUAGACGAGAUACCCUACACAUGAUCUUGAGUUGGGUGCAGUGGUUUUCGCUCUCAAGAUUUGGAGGCAUUAUCUGUAUGGGGUUCGAUGUACUAUAUAUACGGAUCACAAGAGUUUGAGGCACAUCAUGGGUCAGCUGUACCUAAAAAUGAGGCAGCACAGGUGGCUGGAUGUGGUCAAGGACUAUGAUUUUGAGAUCCUUUACCAUCCGAGUAAAACAAAUGUGGUUGCAGAUGCUUUAAGCCGCAAGUCAGCUGGGUCCUCUACCCCAACCAGGUGUAUGAGGAUAGCGGUGAAUUCCCCGCUGGUGGUUUUGGUCAUGGAUGUCACACCCCAAAAUCGAGAAUGGCGGAAACGUUCUAGGGCGGAGGACGUCAUGUAAUGUAUCAUAACAAUGCAAGGUAGUAAACAAUCAACAACAUCAUCCGUUGCAUUAAUAGUAUAUUUUUAGUUACAAGUGUUCUUUCAUAAUAUAAGACAACAUAAUGAACAAUCAAAAUAAAAUAGGAGUCUUGAUUUCUCCCUCUUCACAAAACCUGGUCGUCGUACAUGUCUAUUUGUGACCUGAGAGUACAAGUUAUUUUGAAAGCGAGUAUCAACCAAAAAGCUGGUGAAUUCAUAAGUAUUAAUGUGUCUUUGAUUUGUAAAACUAUAAAGUAAUGACUUGUAAACCUUUGGAAAAAGAUUGUAUAAGUAUGAACUGUUUGAAAGCAGUUGAAAGCGUUUAAAUACCCUAGCAAAUCCCUAUGAUUUCUAUUAGUAUAAAGACUAGCCUUCUACCAAGACCCGAAUGUUUUGAAAGUAGUCUUCUACUAAGACUUGUAUGUUUUGAAAGUAGUCUUCUACGAAGACUCAAAUAUAUGGAAAGUAGUCUUCUACCAAGACUUGUAUGUUUUGAAAGUAGUCUUCUACUGGUUGCCUUGGGGAUGGUGUUCAGCCAUGUUAUCUAUGCGAGAAUUGGGGUAAGGAAAUAAUUAUUAGACAAACUAUCUAGAUAAUUAUUAGAAAAUCUUCAUUAGAUACAUCGCUAUUUUUAAAGUGCAUACCAGUCAUAUGUAAUUACAACAGGAUAGGACUUCGAAUAAGUGACCUUAACUCCAAAUUCACAAAGGAUAGGGGUAAAGCAAAAUCUUCACAAAUUCUAAGUCUAUAACAUCCUAGUUACAUAUAGCCUCAGUGUAUCCACUUAGCAACUAUCAACUUAGUAAUGAAGAUUCUUUUUAGUUCUCAAAUACCCCUAUAGUAUUUUAGGUUUAUGUUCUAUUGUUCUCAUUAUGGUAUUGUUGAUAGGAUUUUAGACUUGUUACAACCACACAACUAUACUUAGGCACAUGCUAUUCAACCCUCGGAUAAUAUAGUUGAUCAGGCUAUAUCUUCCCAGUUUUGACUAUAUGUCUCUAAGUCCACUUUUGUUGCCCAACAAUUGUAAUUCUUUUGUACUGUCCUAGUGACACUGAUUUUUGUAUGAAUGCAGGCAUGUAUACUUAAUCAAAUAUUGUAAUAUUUUGAAGUAUAAACUCUUGGUCAGAGUAUUUUUAAUCCCUAUAUAUUUAUAGUUAGUAUAUCUUUUAUGGGUUGAUAUACUCAAUUCACCAUAAACAAUUCUCUGAUACCAAUUGGUCACACCGCAAAAUCGAGAAUGGCGGAAACGUUCUGGGGCGAAGGACGUCGUGUGAUGUAUCAUAACAAUGCAAGGUAGUAAACAAGCAACAACAUCAUCCGUUGCAUUAAUAGUAUAUUUUUAGUUACAAGUGUUCUUUUAUAAUAUAAGACAACAUAAUGAACAAUCAAAAUAAAAUAGGAGUCUUGAUUUCUCCGUCUUCACAAAACCUGGUUGUCGUACCUGUCUAUUUGUGACCUGAGAGUACAAGUUAUUUUCAAAGCGAGUAUCAGCCAAAAAGGUGGUGAAUUCAUAAGUAUUAAUGUGUCUUUGAUUUGUAAAACUGUAAAGUAAUGACUUGUAAACCUUUGGAAAAAGAUUAUAUAAGUAUGAACUGUUUGAAAGCAGUUGAAAGCAUUUAAAUACCCUAGCAAAUCCCUAUGAUUACUAUUAGUAUAAAGAGUAGCCUUCUACCAAGACUUGUAUGUUUUGAAAGUAGUCUUCUACCAAGACUCAAAUGUAUGGAAAGUAAUCUUCUACCAAGACUUCUAUGUUUUGAAAGUUGUCUUCUACCAAGACUCAAAUGUAUGGAAAGUAGUCUUCUACCAAGACAUCUAUGUUUCGAAAGUAGUCUUCUACCAAGACUCAAAUGUAUGGACAGUAAUCUUCUACUAAGACUUGUAUGUUUUGAAAGUAGUCUUCUACCAAGACUCAAAUGUAUUGAAGGUAGUCUUCUACCAAGACUCAAAUGUUUUGCUAUAACAAAGAUGGUUUUCUCCUCUAUAACUACUAUUAACAAUAUAAAGUCUACCUCGUCGUUUAUGUGAAUGGUUCACAAAAUAAAAGUAAUACGAAAAAUAUAGCCACGUAAGUGUUAUCCUUUUGUAUUAGGAUCAACUCGACAUCAAGACUGUCGAAAUCAAUAACCUUGAACAUCCGUAGAUUGUUCAUUUUCCUCUGUAGCUGGCAGCAGGUUUAAGGAAUGGUUAGUCCCAUAAUGGUACUCCUAAUGUAAGUAUUAACCGUAGGCAUCCGUAGAUGUUCAUUUACCUCUGUAGCGAACAGCAGGUUAAAGGAAUGGUUAGUCCCGUAAAGGUACCCCUAAUAUAAGUAGUAACCGUCGGCAUCCGUAGAUGUUCAUUACCGCUGUUGCUAACAGGUGGGUUCCGGAAUGGUUAGUCUCGUCUAGUUAUCCUAUUGAACUAGGAUAGGCAAAAAUAAUUUACACGUAUAAUAUGUACUAGUAACUCAUCAUAUAGAAUCUAGGUACAAGUAUCCAUGUAAGAGUAUAUGAACGUAUACCUUUGCUACCCAAAGGUACUGAACUGACUGAUUAGAACUAUUAUGUCUAUAUAUGUACACAAAAUAUAUAAAUGAUAUUUAAACGGCCUUCAGACGGAUACCCGAUACCCUACCAGACCACAUCCCAAUGGGGAAAAGGAAAUAAAGCGGGUUAGCCUUCCUAAGUCCUUUAAACAUUAUUUAUAUAACUAUACAUAUACAGACAUGCUUUUAACAAGGUAUCUAAAUAAAAGUAUCAUGGAAGUGUAUCCAAGUAAGUGUAUUUCUACAAGCAACAUGUAUUCGUAUGGACUCAUGAAUGAACUGACUCUGGUGUAAUUCCUUGUAAUAGGAAUAGCAAGUAGUAUCUCCUAACUAUGCCUAUAAUAGUUACUAGAAAUGUACAAGUAUCAACGAAGGUAUACCUAUACAUAUACAGGCAUGCAUUUGAUAAUAUAAAAGCACAGAAGAAUUUUUGUAAAACCUUUGAGAGUAUUUUGAUAAGACAGUUUAAGUGUAAAGGAACCAUUGUUUGAAAACACAUUUGUAGCUGAGUUUAAAAUGAAACUUACAGAAUGUAAGACAGUUUGAUAAAUAGUUUUAAACAUGUAAAAAUGUUUAAGAAAGUCAUUUGAAGAUAUCUGUUUGGUAAAACAGCUAACGUAUAGUAAAUCCAUUUGCAUGUUAGUUAUUAAUCACAUGUGAAUGAUAUAAUUACUAGCAUCUUUCAACUUGUAUUAGCCCCCCUCCCCAUAAAGCAUUUAAAAACAUUUAGAAACAUUUAAAAGGUUAAUUUUAAGGGGUAUGAACUCACUUGCAGUGAGUGGAUUGGAUUGAAGUGUCGGAUACGGCGCUAGGUGACAAACGGAGACUUGUACACACAAGCGAGCCUAGUUAUCAUAUAAUAAACAUAUAUCUAACUAACUAGUCAAUUUAUAACUAAUAAAAUAUGUUGGGACACUCUAGAACAUGAAAACACUUUGUUUCAAGUGUUUAAAGAUCACAAAGGUUGCAUCCAAGUGUUGUAGGGUAUGGCUAAUGGGUGCAGGGUUCAUAGAAAACUCCCUAAGGGAGUUCAUGGCCCUAAGUUCCUCAACAAAUGAGUUUACAGUCGUAAACUCAUGGGUUUACGGCCGUAAGCUCAUAAUUCCAUGACCAUUUGAUGUUUUGAGGCUUUACAAGUCCCUAAGAAGCAUUUCUACCUGAUGGCUUAGUCCUUGGAAGAGGUUAGGGCGCCUUUCAACUCCUUUGAGGAGUUCACGGCCCUAGAACCAAAUCCCUUAGAGGUUACAGCCGUAAUCUCUCAUGUGUAUGGCGUUUUUGGUGUUUUCAAGUCCCUAACUUAACUAGGAACGAAGCUAGGCUAGUGUCCAAGGCUUAUGAAGAGUUAAAGCACACUUUGGCACUCUUGAUUGGGUUCACGGUCCAAGAACUUAUUGGGCCGUGAACACCUUACUCUUGAUAUUUUUGGGGUGUUUUCUUUUCCUACAUACAUUAGAGUACAAGUCUAGGCUCGUUUAAUUGCAAAAGGAAGGGACUAGGGCACUCAUUUGUCCCUUAAAAAAGGGUUUACGGUACAAGAUAUUCUUGGGCCGUAAACUCUUUGAUCUUGUUGUUUUGAUACGAUUUCUAGGUUAUUAGACACAUAUCAAGAACUAUAAUACACUUAGAUAUAAGUACUCACGAUUUGGGACGAAAGGCCGAAGAUCCGUGAGAGAGAAUUUGGCUUUUCUCUAGUUGGAAAUGGAACAAAUGAAUAAAUAUGGCUAAGGAACAUAUAUAUAACCCUAGGGUUUUGGACCACAAACUCUAUGUUUGGGUCAUAUAACUCCAAUUUCUUGAUUAUGAAAUGUCAUUGUUGCACAAUCACCCUAAUAGCAUCUGUUGGAUUAGUGUCUAAGUCCAAAACUAUUUUCGUAUGUACUUGACCCGAUAGUGCAUGGUCCUUUUGGGUUGCGUUCACCAAAGCAACUUGAUAGGAUGAAUUAUGGAGAGAAAUGAUUAAAUAUUGUUUAUUAAUAUAUUAUGGGAAUAAUAUAUUAAAGGAGAAAUCAUAUUGUUUAAUUAAUAUUAGUCAAGAAUUAAUAAGAAUUAAGUUUGUGACUAAAAGAGAUUAAUUAAACUUAAGGGACUGGAAUUGUAAUUAUAAGAUAAUUGCAAUUUGGGCCAUGGAUUGCCUUAUAUUAAGGAGUAGACGAAUUCUAUGGGAAAUCCCAUGAGGAAAUCGUCCAAGAUCUUAAGGAAAGGAAUCUAUGGGUUGCUUAGGGCUUAAGCAUCCAAUUUAGGGUUUCCUUGUUAGAUAACCCUAAUUGCCUCAUAUAUAUAUAUACCUUAAGGACCAAAAACAUGGCUAAGCUUCUUGCUAGGGUUUCACACGUUUUUGGGCAGCCUCCAUCCUCUCUCCUCUUCAUCCUCUUGCUUAUGGUGUUUGUGAGCCAUUAGAGGAGUGACACUUGUGACUCUAAGCCUUCCAAAGUCAAUUCAAGGAGGAAUUGGGAUUGUUAUUGCUACAUAACAAUCAAGGUAAUAUCUUAAACCUAAUUAUAUGUUAAUAUUGAUUUCCAUAUGCUAGAAUUAGGGUUUAUAGUCUUGGAUUCAAAGCAUGUACAAUAGAGAAACCUAGAUCCAAGCAUUAGGGUUUGUAUGAGCACAUAGGAUGUCUUAUGACCAAAACCCAUCAGUGGUAUCAGAGCCUAGACUGGUUUCAAUUGUAUUGAUGCAUUACAUGUUCAAAAAAUUCGAUUUUUGAUGUUCUGGAGGCUGGACUCGCCGAGUCCAUAGCUGAACUCGCCGAGUCCAUGCAGACUCGACGAGUCCAAGCUUGACUCGACGAGUCAACUCGUCAGAUGGAGGAUAUUUCGCGAUUUCUUGCUGUUUUUGCUUAUGGAUAGUUACCUUAUCAUAUUAGAUCAAUAUUAAUCCGAUUUUAUGAUAUAUUUGACUAUAUUUUUGAUCUAAUUGAAGAUAUUUAUCAAUUAAUAAGAUAAUUGUUUCCUUAUGUGAUAAUUGAUUAAUUAUUUUGACUAAAUUGAUAAAUUGUUUUGCAAGAAAUCAUUAAAUAAAUCAAAUAUGGAUAAUUAUGUGAUUAAAUGUUAAUUUAGAUUAUUUGUUAUUUGAUCCUUGUUGUUAUGAAAAGUUUCAUAUUUUCCCCUUUAGGUUUUAUAGUUUAAAUUUGAACCCAAAAGUUUUGUUGUUUUGAAAUUUAAAUAGUUGAAACCCUAAUGUUUUGAAAAAGGUUUCAAAACUUGCCCUCAAGUUUUGGAAUUUAAAUUUUGAUUAAAUAGUUUAAUUUUGAUGUAUAUUUAAAUUCUAAACCCUAAUGUGUUGAAAUGUUUCAAAACUUGCCCUCAAGUUUUGGAAUUUAAAAGUUGAUUAAAAGUUUAAUUAGGAAUGUUAAAUUCUAAAACUCUAGUAUAGUUUUGAAAAAGUUCAAAUCACACCCUUAUGGUUUUAUUAAUUAAUUAAGGUGUAUAAUUAAAAGAGGUUUAAUAAAUCCAUAAAAGUUUAGGUUUACAAUUUAAUUGAAUUAAAAGUAUAAUUGUUAAAUUUGACCACCUAGUAUUUUAAAAGUGUAAAAUACACCCUAUACUAUAUAUAACAUUAAAAGUCUAACAUUAUAUAUAUGUAUGAGUAAAAGUCAGUCUUACCGUUAGUAGGCCUCAUUCACGAAGCUGGUCUAUAAGGGGUGUUUAAGGAAAUUGCCUAUAAAAUGGCGAUUGAAUGGGUAUCCACUCUUACCCACCGCACUCUUGACUAGUGGAGGGUCGUUAGCCGAACGGGUAGGAUAGGACGAAACCUUCCAUUAUAAGUAUAAUGAAGUAUAAAAGUAACUAAAUGUUUUCAUAAAAUUCCCAAUCUUAGUUACUUAGGCAAAAGUGAAUUGAUGCAAUUCCAUGAAAUUACACUUUGUGCCCUUGCGAAGACGUUAGUGGAGCGUGUGUGGUUUACCGGCACACUAAAUGGUUCUAAGCAAAGGUAGCAAAGGGUGACUCAAUGUUUGUCAUAGUUCGGUGGAGCGUGUGUGGUUUACCGGCACAUCGAAUAGGUGACUGUAACAUGUGAGGGCACCAUGUAAGUUUGCAUGGUUAUUCACACCCGCUUUGUGAUCCUCGGCAUCCCAGUCACAAACAAAAGGGGCAUAUCGAGAUUUAAACAUGCCAUUGAAAUGUUCAAUGAAUAUCAAAGGAUCUAGGAGUUUUCAUAGAUUUAAAACUUAAAUUUCUUUUUCGUUUUUCGUGGUGGAAAUUAGUGAAUCGUCAUUCACUUACCUUCAAAUAUUCUGCAAUUAGGGUUACGGCAUCCCUCUCCCGAGUUGUAGAAUAUUGUGUUGGGUCCUAGCCUUAGUAUCUCAUUUGGGUGAUUUACUAAGGACUCAAUCAAUCAACUAACUUGAAUUUGUUUUCUCCCGUUUUGUAGAUGUCAAAGUACGACAACUAUGGUCUUCUCAAAUCCCGUGGAACAAGCAUUCCACAUGAAGAUGAUAUUCCACGAUUCGAUCGAGGAACAAGAAAUCAUGCUUCACUUCCUCCACCUCCUCCAAUUAUUCUCCCUAACCCACAAGUUCGAAGGCUUGAAAAGUUCAAGCUCACUCAAGCCCUUUUGGCAAGUAAACAUAAAGAAGGAAAGUCGGUGUGUGCACACGUCCUAGGGAUGAAGUCACACAUUGAUAAGUUAAGAAUGUUGGGAUCCGUUGUCUGUGAGGAGAUGGCUGUUGAUUGGGUUCUUCAUUCACUUCCUAACUCGUAUAGUGAGUUCAUAAGAAAGUACUAUAUGAUAAACUGCAACGUGACCCUUAUAGAUCUCACCUUUAUGCUUAUUGCUGCUGAAUCAGAAAUGGUUUGGCGCAAUAGAAAAUCAAAGUUGAUUGGUGAAUCUGCCUUCAAGACCUCUAUGGCUAUAGACAAUGACAAAGAAAGACAUGCUAUGAUCGAAAAGAUUGAUCAUAAGAGAAAGGCAAUGUCUGAAUUAGUUCCAUGUCCUGUUCCAAAAGAGUCAAUUUGCUUUUAUUGCCAAGAGAAGGGGCAUUGGAGACGAAGUUGCCCUAUUUACCUAAGAGAUCUAAGAGAUGGGAGAGUCAAAACGUAUGGCUCUACUUUAGGUAAAAUCCAUUG